AGUUUUUUUUUUUUUUUUUUUUUUUUGGGGUCGACUAGUUUUGUAGUUGCAACAACUAUCCACCUUCUGGAGCACUCCAGGGUCAGAAACUUACAAAUAUAUUUGUGCCUUUCAUGUACAAGUAGAUGUAUAUAUGGUAGUAUAUCAAGUAGAUGAAUAUCAAGUCGCUUUUUGCUCCGUUAAGCUAUUUGAAGAAUACUCGAAGCAAUGAAUGGCCAGUACAAAAUCAAACUGUGCAUGUAGAAACUUUUUUUUUUUUUUUUUUGGGUAUGGAAGUAGACUUUCUACAGCUUAUUGCAUUGCUUUACAACCACCAAUUUAACGUCCAGGCAAAGAACCAUUGCAGUUAAUGCAUGUCCAAUUGUUCGUGAACAGUUAAGUAGCUGCAUCUGCUAUGUUUACAUUUAGCAACUGAUGAAAUUACACUCCCAAAUUUACAAGGAAAAUACAUCUUUGAAAGCAAUACAAUGUUGAUUUACAAGGUAAUUUUUCCGUGCUGAUUAUUUUUCUCGGUAAUGGAACAGUAACUAACUAAUCCCAUAUCAUAACAACAGCUAUGACUCCCACACCUAAAAGCACGGCAAGAAGCUUGAAAAAUGGAGUGUCAAAGUAGAGUUUAGCAUGUGGCUUGAAGCCUUUGGUGACGAGAUGAUUGAUGGCAACAUAGAUGAAAACGCCAGAGGCGAUUCCCAUGGAGAUGGCAAAAAUCCAAUCUGCCGUGCGCCCUUGGGUAGUGGCGUCGAUGGCAAUGCCUAUGCCCACCCAAUUGGGCUCGACACAGCAAAGGCAAAUGAAUAAGCAACUGUCGUCAAAAAUGGCCUCUUUGGUAUCAUCCUUAGAAGGGCAAUCCCCAUUGCAAUUGCUGCAAAUAUCUUGUGCAGUGAAAUUGUCCACAGGUUCUUCCAUGCAUCUGACUUGGUAGCUGAGCCAAUGUUUCACGAAGGGUCUCUUUUAGUUUUAAAUUCUCAUGAAAUUGAUAGUUAAUGGUGUAUGAUUUGAGCCCUAAUGAACUUUAUGCUGAAAGUGCAAUAUAAUAAUUGGCUAACAAGGUUGGGAAAAAAAAAAAAGAGGAGUUGAGGCAUUGCACCCUUAUAUACAUCUUGUGAUAUAGAGAAAGGAUCUGAUCAACAGAGCAUAACAUGCACUUCUCGGAAUAGCGAGCAAAAAUUCGAUGAUGAUCAGGUUAGAGUAAUCACGCAUAUUAACAUUUAACAAAUAGAUAAUUGAGAUUUGAUGCCAUGCAACUUUAAGUCAUGCUAGUAAAGAUCAGCUGGCUAGAAGUGCACAGAAAUGGUAGAAGAUUAUGUUAUAGAUGUUACGCGUGAUUCUAGAACACAAAUAAAGUUUGCCAAGUGCAGAAGUUUCGACGAUUAACAAUAAUAUUACGUAUCUCUAACUUGUUUCAAAUGUGUAAAUAUUGUUGCUUACCGCUACUCCAACAGCAAUCCCCUCGAAAACUGAGUGGAAACACAGAGCUAGGAUGAGAAGUAUGGUAUCCCCAACUGACGACGUUUUCACAGAACUGGGUUGUGAUGCAUUCCCUCUUCUUCACCGUAUCCCCAGAUGCUGCCCUGCCUUCUUCAACUUCGACUCUAUUAUCUUUCUCAGCACCCUUUGUGACCAAGAUCACUAUGCAAUCACCAAACAUGGUCAGAAGAUAGCCCGCGGAUGCCAACAUGAAAGAAAAUGGAUAAGAUUUUGUUGUUAGAUCAGCAAAAGUCGAGGUUGAGUCGCUCAGGAAGUGCAUAAGAGAAGUUCCAGAAACACCCCUCCAGCAAAUUGAGUUCCAUAAGUAGGAAGCUUUCGUUCCAUCGGAAAAAAUAAGGGGAGACUCCACCAGCAAAUGUGCUAGCAAAGAAAAUGAUCAAACACAGAUUUUGACGAGAAUUAGCCCUUUUGAGUGCAGAUCUGUGUUGUCACCAUCACUACUGCUUUCUUGAUCAUCGCCGCCAUGAGCACCAAUCCUGAAGCAUUGGAGGAUAAAACUGAAAGGAGAAGUAUGAUCAAGAAAGUUGACUUGGGCAGCCGGUCCACGGGAGAAGCCAUGUACGACAAAGAAGCUCUCGAGGAAAUUAACUUUGUUGUUUAAACAAUUAACAUUUUCGUCGUACGCUUUAUAAUGUAUAGGAGUGUACUUCAUGAAGAUUAAGCUUCAGGAUCAAUGACAACAAGACUCUGUUGCUAAAAUUUUGUAGUACAGCUUUGACUUUUACAAGGUUGUACUACACAUCCUGGACUUCAUAAUUUCUACUGGCCGGCUAUCAUUUGUGCGUUGACAAACAAUUCAGGCCAUUUCACGUACAAUAGGAUACAACGUAUAGUACAGAAUAUUACAGAGAGCCUGUGGCGAGCAGGGACUACAAGAAAAAAGAGUUUCAGUUGUUUUCGUGCACAGUGGACAUGAGAUAGAGCAUGGAUGUCUCAAAAAGCUCAAAGGGUUUUUGAUUUAAUACAGGGAAACAAGAAAUGUCUUGUGUUUUCACAAUGAUCGUUGGGUAGAACCGAGAUGGUUUGGCCGAAAAUCCUGUGGUGGAACGCUUUCACAGAAAGAUGAUGUGCAAAUUUGUUUCAGUGAUGCAUGGAAUUGAAAUUUGUUGUCAAUCUAUCUAUUUUGAAGGGAAAAAGUACAAAUUGUAUUCGAGUCAUUCAAACGCAAAAAAUCUUUUCUAGACGAUUUGGUAGCCAAGGUUAGGAUAACUAGUCCUUGCAACUCGACCACCUUCUUUAAUCUAAACAAAUCGCCUUGUGUCCUAGUACAAGAAGCCCAUAAACAAUACUGACAUUCAGCACAAAUAAAAGAAGCCCAUAACAGUUUUUCCAUGAAUUGGCCGACACCCCUAGCUUUUGUCGCGCGGCCGCUUGGUGAAUUAGCAAGAAUCACGGCUUAGCGACUAAAUUCUCUGUUCAUGAUGGAUUGACUUGUUAGAUUUGCAGGCAACAUGACAAGGUCGUGUAACAGAAAAUCCUUUGUUGUUUUGGAAAUGGGAAUGAACCUAUUGGUUAUUCUACUUCAGAUAAAUGCAGAUCGAGCCAGCCAACAUUUACAUACAAUUCUAACAUUUCUUCAGCUAAUAACUGCAGACCACUUCUUAUAGUAAUAGCAUUAAACUAUAUCCAUGGUUGGGAGUACAGAACAGAUGUAUACAUUCGGCUUGUGUUUUUACAUAAGCCAUACAUCGUCCAGAAUAAGGUGCAUUAAAGUAGCACUGUUUAUUGCAUAGAGUUUGCAGCAUGCAAAAGUCUCUUGAAAGACUCAAGCAUCCAUGCUCACGCAUUGCAUUCACCCAGCCUCGUAGAUCUGCUGGAAAUCUACAAACUGGGCAUGCAACUCGUUUUCCCACACCGGCAUAGAUGCACUCCAGAUGAAACUGUAACAGAGGACAGCCAAACAUGUCUGUGUGAGACUUAAAAUGCAUCUAACAUACAACUUUCAACUUCACAACUAUAAAAAUCUAAGACGAGCUGAGAUUAUUGUUAAAUCUCUCCGGCUUCUCCUUAAUCGCUCCGAUUCAAUAUUUAUUAAAUCCAUGCAUCAAAAGAAAGCUUAAUUUCAUCCCCAUGCUCUAAAAAUUACAGCAGCUGCUUUUCAGAUGACCACCAAGAAUGCAUACCAUCUUGAGUGGAUGCACGUUAGUAUUUGUUACCAUUGUUAUAUCCAAAUACAGAUCAAACAUCAAGCUUUGAUGUGGUCGAGUUGAUUUAUAGGGCAUGGAUUUCAGAUAGAGAUUAUGGUCUAGUGAGGGAAUUGAGUAGAACAGGAAAAACACUGAGUUUAAAUUUUGAUCCAGAAGGGGCAGAAGCCCGAUGCAAACAUGGUGAGGUAAGAAGAGGCACUCCAGCACCAAGUCGACCUGUGCACAUGCCACAUAGCAAUUCCACCUCCAGAGCUUCAAUGUACAUGUCUACAGUAUUCUUGCUGGCAACUAACUUGUUAAAUGGACAAAACAGAACCAACGGAUGCAUUUUGAUAUAUUACAGGCACCACCCAAUGAUACAGAUAAAAGAAUCAUGUAUUCAGGAAGAAUUAGCUGUCGAUGAUGAUACUGCAACAGCAGGAAGCACACUUUUGAAUAACAUAUGCUGCAUAAAGUUAAAAUUUGCAUUCAUUGGAUAAAACAGGUUACUGCAUCUUGAUUUGGAAAGUGUGCUCGAAGGGCGUAUUUUAGUCUAAAAUAUUUCAUAGAAUAGCCUCAUCUAAGCCUUCAAUCGAAAUUGAGCUGAAAGGUUCAAGACCAGAUUAAUGCCAAAAGAACACUGACUUGGUUUCUGGAUAUCAGCUUGAUUUGCAUUUCAUGUUAAAAACCAACAUGUGACCCCAGAACAGGACAUUAUCCAAACGGACGAGAAAGCAACGCAUAUUAUUGAUCUGGGUAUUUUUAUUAUUUCGAAGAACAGAAAGCAAUACUAAAAGUCCUAAAGUAACAAGACAAAGCAAAGAGAGCCGAACACAUGCAGAGGGAGUGAGAAACUUAACAUAUGAAGUUUGUAGAUAGCAGCAAGUUCAUCAACUAUAGGAAGCUCCUUAUGGGUAUCUCAACCUUCCCCUCUUUUCUGUCUACAUAUCCUAGACUUUUUCUUUAAAUUUUCUAUGAAAGCAAACAACCAAGAAUAACUCAAUACUGUGACUUCCAGCAAUUGAAAAUUAUUAGAUAACAAACAUAACAGUCCUGGAGUUUAUAGACAAAAUGCAGUUAGAGUGCCUUAUCUUGCAAGAGUACAUAAUAACCCCAUUGGUGGCCUCUAUUUUUCCACUAUCUGAUAUCAAACAACUAGACUAAAAUAGAAUAACAAUAAUAGUAAUAAUAAUAAUAAUAAUAAUAGCCAGAGCAUUUUUCUGUGUUAAGUUAGCAAUGUUAAGCAGCUUAAAGUGGCAUUAUCAUUUAAGCAAGACUUUAAAUGAUUUUUAUUCACUUUAAGCAUAUCAGAGUGGCCUUAUCACAAGUAAUGAUUUUUAUUCACUUUAAGCAUAUCAGAGUGGCCUUAUCACAAGUAAAUGAUAUGCUUAAAUGACAAUGCCACUGUGAUAUCAGAGUGGCAUUAUCACAAGACUUGCUUAAUGUGAAUAUCAGGGUGGCAUUAUCAUUUAAUGAUAUUUAUUGGAAAGGUUUAAUAUUCUUUUUUCUUUUUUAACUAUUCUUUUAAGAUUUUAUAGCAUUCCUUUCUGUCAAAUGCAUUAUCCAACCAAAAUCAAUGAUCUACCAAUGAAAAUUCAACUGUCUAUGGCUAGAUAUACAUAUGCUAAGACAAAUUAAGACAACCUAGUUUUCUUCCGGAUUAGAUACUAAAACACCUCAGAACCUUUUGCUUGUUUAUCCCUAAUGAAGUAGAUGGAUCAGAUCAAUAAAUCAACCAACCAACAUAAGAUUACUAUGUAACAUGACAACUGAACUUAGACAAAAGCAAGCAGAGAUAAAGAAAGCUUUUCAUACCAAUUCCAGAUAUGAUGCAGCCAGGGAAGAUUUGACACCAACAACCACAAAAGAAAUGUAGUGAAAGAGAGAGACACGCACACACAAAAAGGUGUCAGUUAUAUUGUGGCGCUCUCAUUUGUCUGAACCUAAAAGCUUUUACUACUAGUUUUGUGUCAAUGUGAGGCAAGUAGUGGCUGACAUGUAACCUUCGCCUUAACUCUGGCACUGCCACAACCAUUUCCAGCAUGCAAUACAUGUUUCAGAUUCAGGAAUCUUUGCAAUAGAACCUAUCAAUUUCACUAUAUUCACUGUGAUCUUAUUCUUGAACAAUAACCUGAAGGCCCUCUUUUUCCGUUUGCUUUUCCUGUUGUAACUGAGAGGAGAGAUUUUUUACCACAUAUGAUCCAUUUAAUUUUGAUUCAGAUUUGUACAACAAAAUACAGUAAAGGAGUCAAUUUAAAACAAAAGUUAGACAUAUACACAGCAUUACUAAAAAGGUUGCAGGUAGGCACUCGAGUCAUUCCAAGGGCUCAUGAAUUAGGCAUUUCCAAGCCAAAUACUCCCCAGCAAACAGCAGUUUUUGUGAUUUCACAUGUCUUGAGUUCAAGUGCAAGGAAAACACUACUUCACAGAAGAAGCAAAGGCCAGGCAAUAAAAUGCAUGCGGCUCCCUAUGCUUAAAGCAUCCAUGUAGCAGGAUUUCCACCGUUAGAUUGUAUUUCUCCUUGAGUUACAUCCACAUAAGGCAGAUAUGGGCUGCUGUCAAGGCAAAUUAUGGUACAUGCCUCGAGUGCGAUUAGAAGGCCAAGUUUUUAAAGCAAACACCUUAAGAAAGAGCAACGCCCCAGUCAAAAAUGCAUAUUUACUAUGCCAGAAAAUAGGUACAUAAAUAUAACAAAGUGACCAGGCUACAUAUCACAUACAAAAACCAUCAUAUAUGUUUCCGGUACCACUUACACAUGCACAAGUUCACAGCAUGACUUUCCAUGACAUUGUAUUACAAUAGAAUUUAUUCAUGGGCAAAUAUGUGGUCAUUAUUGUCUUUUUCUCAACUGUCUAACUUUUGAGCCCCAUUUUUAACAGUUUUGAAUAUGAAUUCCAAAAGAUCCAAGUAUAACAGGUCUUACAACUCAGUAAGUUUUUACCUCUCAAUAACUUUGCAGACCUCAUAAAUUCACAAUGAACAGCUCCGUCAAGAAAAUUAAUUCCCUCACUAGGUGAAUGGAUUAGAAGAACUGGAGAAAAAUUUUUAACUUUACCAUCUCAUGUAUGUACGUAAUAUGCCGUGUCUCUAAAUAUUUUCGUUUUAUGGAGUAAGCGGCAACAAGCCCGCCUUUCUUUUGAAUAGUCUACUAGGUCAGCUACUUUCUAGUGUCAGUCAAAUUUAACCAAAAAAAUAAAGGCAAACCAAAACUAGCAUAUACAGAUGCAGAUUUGGAUUCUACUCGUUUUCUUUCUAAGAACUAUAAAAACAGUGAGACUGAAUCAUCUUACACUCAAGCCAGAUCACAAAGACACACAAGUCUAAAACAACAGCACAAGUAAAAAAGUUGUUUAGAUACCACCAUUGCAGGAAUUAAGAAUACAUGGAACCAUAAAGGCAAAACUCCCAUAUUAACUAGCGAGGAGAACACAUAGAGCCUCUGAUCAUUCUUUUGAUGCUUACUGCAAACCUAAUUUGCAGUCUUUAACUGUUUUUAAUUUCCUGACUGAUCGAUCUACAUACUAAACAACUCCAAAUCUCCAACAGCUGUACAACAAUGAAGCAUUAACACAACCUAGAAGAGAAUAAGAUCCAUUUAAAUCCUUGGGACCCAAUUAGAUAUUCAUCUUAAACAACAUAGGUAGAUUUUUUAGAUGUAGGGACAUAACUUCCUGAGACACCACAUAACUGUCAUACCAAAGUAUUAUCUACUCUCCAAAUCUUAAAUACAUCUUAUGACUUUCUUAUCAAAAUAAGAACAACACUAACAAUUUUGUCUACUUGCCUCCACCCUCUUUAUUUGAUUGUUUGAAGGUCAGAUUCACAGCAGCCCCCAUCAAAAGAAAGAAAGGAAAUGGAGGAUUAGAUGGUAGCAAAGCAAAUCCGAAGUUCACAUUCAUCCUUGCAGGACUCAGAAAAAUUAACUGGAUCUUAAGAUAGAGUCUCUAACUUAGUGGUUAAGAUAAUAAUCUAAGCCCUUUUCAAGUGUGUGAAGCAUGAAAAUACAUCUCAGAGUUAAACAAACAAGAUGUCUGUUAACGGACAGGAAGAAUUAAGUGGCUUAUCACAUUAAGCUGUCAUAACAGAUACUGUAAUUACAAAACUUUAGCCUGCAAGUUACAUCAGCAAAAGCCAAUAAUCCACAUUGUGUAACUCCUUUUAACUAGAGUCUUCUCAAACCAAUAAUAACUUAAACCAGUUAUGUCCUUUGACCACCAUGAUGGACCACAUAUAUAUACCUUGUCAUGUAAGGAAACAAUUGCAUGUAACAUUUUACAUUUUUCAGUUCAUCCCACUUCAUCAGCAUGGUUUUAUCAAUCAUCUGCUGCAUUUCUUGAAAAAGCCAUCAUUGAUUUCCUCAAAGUGAGCAAACAGGCAAGGGAUGUAGCUGAAGGAAUACGUCUUGUCCAUCUAAAGAAACUACUGCUGGUGCUGCCAUUUUUGCUUGCACGUUUCAAUAUCUUAACAUUAAUUCUAAUCCAGAAUGCAUUGUUUCUGAACAAUCACAUUUACCAAAAAUUCAAGCUGACUAGGUUUUGCUUAAACAUGAAUUAAACAUUUGAUGUACCAUCAACAAUAUCAGCACAACAAAAAAAAGGAAAAAAAAUUUUGCCAGCCAGAUAUGGCUCAAGUAACCAGUCUGGACCCAGCAUAUGUCAAAUGAUACCCUGGUGAAAAAAGCUUAUGUCUGUUUAGGUUUUCUUAACCUAAAAAAAAAUAGAACACAACAGUUUUCAUAUUACCCAAUCAAGAUCACCUGAUCUGAGAGAUGCUGAUUCUCACCAUUUAACCGAUUCACUCCUAUGCUAUGUGCAAAGCCACUUCACUCGUCUAUCAGAGAGCAGGGCCAGCCAUUCUGCUCAUGGAAGAGCCUCCUAAUUUAUGUUCCCUUUGUCAAUUUCUGCCCAAUAAUGGAUAAGAUUAACCAUUUAUAUGAAUUGCUUUUAUCUUGUUAUAACUUCCAAUAGCAAUAAUAUGCGAUCCAGUAAUUAACCUGCUUAAUCUAUAGAAAGAGAGGCAUAGAAAGGAAAAAGAAUUAUCGCUUGGUAGAAUAUUUUGUCCAAAUACAUUUUUCCAUCAUGGAAAAUCCUAUGUAAGAAUCUCAACCUAUCGUUCCCUAUAUCAUUGCGGAAAACUUACAAGUGGUAAUGAAUACAACACAACAGGAGAAAGAAAACUGAUAGUAUCAAUGACUCUAACUGAAUCCCCAAUUAUUUGUCAACUGAAUGGGCACAUAAAGGGGACGCUAAAAAAACUCUAGAUACAGCAAAGAAUUGGGAAUAGGCAUCAAACCACCUUUAAAAAAAAAAAAAAAAAGGCAUCCACACAGUGCUGAUAUUAAAUAGGCCUUUUGCGUACUCAAAGCAAAUCCCAGUUGAAUCUAGGUUGAGCUGAACCCAAGGUACUUGUUGAAGCUUUGGAUCCAGGAGGCACUGGUGCGGGAAUGGAAUCAAAAGUUUCCCAUUGAGUGGUGAUCAGAACAUGGCUCGAAGCUGAGUGCCUUGAUGGUUGCAGUUGUUGCUGCGGCUGCAUUGGGACCCAAAGGAAUGCCUACCCUGCUGUUGUUCAACUGAGGAUGAUAGAUGAUCACGAGAAAACCUCUGUUGCUGCUGUUGGACAGGCGAAGACAGCUGUUGGGUUGGUGAUGACAGCUGCUGCAUGGGGAUGUGAUUUCCCAGGCUUGCAGCAUUGCCAUUACUGAUUGGAGCUAGUUUUUUACCUUCAACAUAUCCAGAGUCUCAACGUACUUCUGUACUCGUCUCACCUUCAAAAUCAGAAAUUUUACAUUUGUCCAUGCCCUAGACUAGAAUAAUCAAAGUCCUUUGUACAAAACUAGAACGAAGUUCAGUUAUACCUGCAUUUUCCUCUGCAGUUUGACAUCCCCAUCCGCAAUAAUUCCAUCUAACUUAAGAAGUUGAUUCAUCAAUAGCUCGAUCAGAUUUAAUACAUCCUUUUCCGCAACUUUUCCACCUCUAGAAAUUACAGAUUCAAGCGCUGACACCUAAACAAAAUGAGUUGACUAUAUUCAGUAAUUACUAAUUGCGGGUCUGCUAAUAACAAUCAUGAAAGUCUACGUCUUUGGACAGCUUAGCAAGAACCAAAAAGAGAGAGAAGGGGGGAAAAGAAGAGGAGAAGAAGAAGAAGAAGAAGGAAGGAAGGACUUACCAAGACCUGCACUUUAUGAUACGUAACAGGAAUUAGCAAAAACGAAGAAAGGGACUAAAUAAAUUACCUGUCCAGCUAGCCUAUCAACCUCCAAACUGAUCUCUGAUAUAGAUUUAGCGGCCUUCUCCAUUUUAGCAGUCUUUCUCAUCUCAAGGUACUCCUCUCUUGGCUAAUUGGGUCCUCCACCAGCACAAUUUUGGAUUUAUCUUUCACACCCGAAGUAUCAAGAAAAGCAUUUGAGUCCCUCUCUUUAUCCUUGAACAACAAUUUCUGAUCUUGAUGGUGCAAUCCAGUAGGCCCAGAUAACAUCUUCUUCAACUCCCCUUUUCAGCUCCCCAAAAAUAGAACCAACUCAUCAAAAUCAAAGAAGAAAAAAGGGCGGACAUAAAAUUGAAAACUUCACGAAAAUUGUUUGACUUACCGAAGCUUGAUUGUGAGUUAAUAUUUAUCUCAUGGUAAACAGAGCCAUACUUGACCCUAACCCGGAUAGUAGGAGGAGGAGGUCGAUAUUGAUCCGAAUCAGUUCGCAUCUGAACCAGCAUUCCACCAGGCCUCAUCUCCCAAUUCCCAUCAACUCCUCCUCCUCCUCCUCCAGUUCCGCCGGCGCCGUUUGCGGCCGUACUAUCUGUCGGUGGGAUUCCCAAUCCCAUUCCCAUAGUUUUAGUUCUCAUCCGCAUCAUAUCUACUCCAACAAAAAAAGCACCCACUCACUACAACACAAAAAAUGGAUGCCUGACGAGUAACCAGCACAAAUCAGAUCAAACUAGCAUUAUUCUUUAAAAAAAAAAACAUGUCAGCAUUACACAAGGAAGAGAAAAAGCAAAGACUCACUGGUUUGGGUUUGAGCUGAGAAUUGCUGGGAAAAAGAUUUGACUUUUGUCGGUGGGAUUUUAGUUUCUGUGCUGGCUGUUGAAAGUAUGAAGAAGGAGAGAUCUUUACUUUGUUGCUAGUAGCUGAAAAAUACGAUACCUGCCCAAAUUUUCUUAGGCAGUACAAACCUUGAACCACCGAUUGUUCCGUCCGACGAUAAAAAAUCAAAUAUAUGCUUUCAAAAUGUAUAAAGGAAAAAUUAAAUUGUGAAGAAUAAUCAAACUACUGAACGACAAGCGAUUGUUUCUUUUUUCUUUCUAUUUUCGAGCGAAUGAGUAAUUGCCUUGGAAGGAAGGGUCCGAGAAGGGGGAGGACCGGAGAGGGAAAAGUAUAAAUGGAGAGUUAUAUUUAUAGGACACAAUAAAAAGAAAAAAGAGUGAAAAGUGAGAAAAAUAGCUGGUGUAUGUAUGACCAUUCGAGAUUGUGAUUUUGUUAUUUGGAGCCGCCAAGGGAUGAGUUUCAAGGGUUUACAAGAAAAUUUGGGUUGAAGGAGAGAAGCCAAAAUCGUUAGGACCAUUGAGAAACAGAGUACUGAGUGUAAAUUGUUUCAAACAUUAUUUAUACAAUUAGCAUGUCAUAUUGAGGUCAUAUAUUGUCAUCCUGGUCUAGUGUAUAAGAUGGUAAUUCUUUAAAUAACUACUAUUACGUAGGAAUGAAUAAAAAACUAUUACGUAGGAAUGAAUCAUAUAUGAGAUUGUACGAGAUUAAUAGCCCAAUCUAAUUUUGUCUGAUGAAGAGAAGAUAUUAACCCAAAACACGUCCUUGCUACCUAGGGAUGUUAAUUUCGGAAAAAUUGGUAACACUGUCCCUUUUUUUUUUUUACGAAAAAGUUUGGAUACAUUAAUUUCCAAACCACAAGUCAAAGCAAAUUUUUGAAUCAUUUGUCACUUACAAAAGUUUACGAAUCAUCCUCUAAUACAGCUCUUGCAUCAAUAACAGAAUUCGGACGUGACCUUUUUUAUAACCAAUCUUUUAUUUAUCACUACUUAGGGUGUUCCAACCUUUUGGCCAAACCAAUCUUUUCUUUUCUUGAUAUAGUACAAACUUUCUUUUUUUUCUUUUUUUUGGUAAGAGAUAUGGUACAAACUUUCGCUGCAUGACCUAAUCCUAGUGAAGUCAUUAGAUUAUUAUUAUUAUUAUAAUAGCCCAGAUGCGUAUGUAUCUGUUUUGUUUCUUUCAUGCGGCAGGGGUAAAUUUAGGAGCGGGGAAGUGGUACAAAGCGCGGCGAAGGAUCUCAAUCGGCGGGUUGGGAGUGAAUGUCAGCCGGUGAAGGAUCUCAAUCGUCCGGUCGUGGGUUCACAUCAUCAUUCAAUUUGUGCAACCAACUGACAAGUCAACUGAGAAAAUAAUGGGUCGUGAUUGGACUGGAUUCACAAAGAGGGACCUGUGAAUGGAAGCCCAUCCUCGAUUGCACAUGGCGUCCGUAGAAGUUAAGCGGGUGGUUGUCCAAGUUUCAAAUCCAUGCUGUGGCUGUAAGAUCCGAUCAUAUUUGACCGGGUCCAAGAAUCUGGACUUUCUCGACUUGUCAAACGUGUCUCUGCUCUGCCCGAUGCCUGGUAGUGUUCUAGUAGGGAGGAUUUUACAAAACAGUCCAAUGAGAAUUUGUCGCAUAAUUUAUAGGUUCUAGAUAAAAUCAUUUUGAAUCAAAUCUUCAGUUAUUGUUCAAUUUUAGUAAUAAUUUAUUCAGUUAUUGUUUCAAAGAUUCAGAAUUUCAUAUUGUAAUAGGUAAGACUUGCUAUUUUUUGUUCCCGUCGACAUUCACGUAGUAUAUGCGCAACUUUAAUCUGUUCAAGUUACCCCAAAGAGGGGGCGGGGGGAGAGGAGGGGUUUGACUAAAUAAUUGAAUAUUUUUUUGUGAAAUUCGUGUUGGCAAAAAAAAAAAGUUUAGCUAAAAAGGGAAAUUGAGCUGUGAAAGAAUCAGAGGGUGAAUUCAAUUCUUGAAGACUUUUAUUUGCCACAAAAGGGCAGUUCGUCUCUUUCACUGAAACGAUUUGAUUUGAAACAGCUGCACGUUCACGGUGUUUGACAAUUAAUAUCAUCAUUUGGCCAUCCCGCAGCAGCAGCAGCAGCAGCCUUCGCUCAGAACAGCCUUCUUUCUAAUAUUUAUCAAUUAUUAUUUAGUUGACUGACUUAAAAUCCAAAUAUGUAUUGUUGUAAUGAGCGGUGGCAUUGCAUCCAGAAGGUUGACAAUAAUGUCUGUUUCUGUUACUCAAUCCCAUCCCGACGCAUUUCAUUUUCAUGAGGUGGGGCAAAACAAAAACAUACAGCGGAGGAAUGAAUGAGAACGAUAAUAAGGUAAAGGCACUCCCUAUAAUCAGAUAGCAUCUCUUCUUAUUGGUUAGUUUUGACGCGUAAGAAAAACUAGACAAAUCCCACCAGUCUACUACAAAUGUUGUUAUUCUAGUAGAGUACCAAUCAAGGAUUCACACGGCCAAAUUCAAGAUUUGCUCAGGUAGAGACAAGCAGCCCAACAGGAAAACAAAUGAUGGAGCCAUGGAAUGAAUGGACCAUGGAGGAGGAUAUCCCAACAAUGAAAUUACUGAACAUUACACUUGCUACUCUCAUCAAAGGAAAUUACAUGUUGGCAAGUUGUCCCCCGCCCGACUGCCGUCCAGCCCCCUCCCCAGUCCCCACCACCCUAAUUUUAUUUUUUUUUUUUAAAAAGGAAAAAAGAAAGCUAGAAACAUAUUAUUAUUAUUAUUAUUAUUAUCAUACAGUUUCUCUACAGUGGAAAAAGGAAUUAAAGAAAAGCAAGGACACUUUAAAAAGCAAAUUCACACACAGAAGCCACUACCACCGUCCCAUUUCCAUUCACACAGAAAAGAGAAGAAAGGGAAAAAGCUGACUCUUUGGAAAAGCGAUUGAACCACUACGACUACGUCUUGUACGCCAUGCCAUGGAGAUGUUGUUAAUUGACAACCUAGCUCCAAUCCCACCCCCCCCCCCCCAAAAAAAAGUAAAAAUAAAAAGACAAAUUUACAAAAUAGUCCAUCGGAGGAGGAUAAGCGUUCAGAUCACAAAAAUUGAACAUGAUUGCACUAACUAAACUCCUAGUUCACUUGCAAACCUGCGGGGAAAAUCCAAAAUUGCAGCUCAUAAACAGGGAGCAAAGGUCAAUUAUUUGCUGCAAAUGCCAAAUGGGGCCUUGACAUCCAUCUAAUAAUAUCCAGUUGCCUCUGCGAUAGGGCAGUUUCAAGAGCUCCCGCUGCUUAUUUCUCACAUGCCUACCAUACGAUAUUCCCCUAUUGGAGCAUAAAUAAAGACUAUAUAAUAAAGAUGAUAAAACCAAUUCCCACAGACUAAAAAAAGGAAUAAACUGGAUUUGGAAAAAAACGAUAGAAUAAUUAAUUUCGUACCAACUAAAGAAUGAAUAAAUAUUCCAUCAUUAGGAAAAAUAAGCUACGGACAUAUUUUUGGUUCCGAAAUUCAUAAACCACCACUACCUCAUUUCCCAACACUGAUACACCCAAAAUCUCUUCCAACCUCGUUUAUCUUCAACCUGAUUAAAAAAUAAAAGAGCUUUUUAAUUAUACAACAUACAUUUUCUUCCCCUAUUUACAUGGUACCACCAAACUGGCCUCUUCUUUUUUCACAAUUAAAUUUUCUUCCCAAAAAAAUAUACAAUAUAUAUAUAUUAGCAAUAAUUUUCUUUAUCAGAAGCUACCAUCGAGCCAUUUCGUUCUGUUCUUCAACAACCAAACCUCCACUCCGCUGGCCCACGUACCUACUAAAACUUGAUUCCGAAACCGAACCCGCCACGCUCCGACUCCUACUGAUUCGACCUCUGGACCUAAAUCUCCUGAAAAAUGAAACGAAAUUACUAAUGAGCCUCCCCAUUCCUCCACCGCCGCCACCACCGUCUCUGCCCCCAUUUCUCCGCCUCGAACCCCACACGAUCCUCCGCGGCAAGCCGACGCUGUUGCUGCCGCUUCCGUGACUAAAAUCUCCAUCCAUUUCUGUAUAUACUUCUGGCAGUUCUCUUUCUUCACUGGUCCCUCCUCCGGUCCUCCUCCCGCCACUAAAUCUACCCACCGCGAAACCCCCUCCGGGUAAUCUCCAAAUAGUCAGCCCAACUGCUUCCUCAGCACGGUUCGUAUUUCCCGAAUCGGAAUACAGCCCCGUUGGUGAUUCCGCCGGCAAUUCGUGUCGGCAAACAGGGCAAGAAUUGCGAAGAGAAAGCCACGGAAGGAUACAGUCGGAGUGGUAUAUGUGCUUGCACGGCAUUUCUCGAGCUUCGGAACCCAAAUCGAAGGCUUCUUUGCACACUGCGCAGUGGGAGUCCAAAUUUACAUGGGUCGAGACUAUUUCAAUCGUGGGCAUCGAUUCGAUGGCCGAUUUCGACGCCGGCGGGUUCUCCGGCCUUGUUAACCCGUUGACUUCAAUCUGCGCCAGUUGAUCGAGUAAACGGUCGAACCCGGAGCCCAUUAAAAACUCCGACAUACUCGAGGGGAGUGGCCUGAGGCCCGACCCGGUCCCAUCAUCGUAAUACAGCUCGUAGCUUCUUUCUCCUCCUCCUCCUCCACCACCACCGUCUCCGUCACCGUCCUCUCCUACAGUUUCAGCUUGUCCUCGAAGAACUAUCACAGGAUUGAACGGAGACCGGUCGCCACGGUUCCGGCGAUUCCGGCGAAACCUGAGGUUGACACUGUCGGAUCUUCUCGGGAACUCCGGCAACGGCGAGGGGGGACUGGAAUCCAGAGCUUCGAUGAACCCACUGUCGCAGUAGGGACAGACAACGUUAUGCUCAGCCCAGACCCGAACAAAUCUGGUGCAUCGGUAGCACCAGUACGACGUCGUUAUGGGGGUGGUCGUCGUCGACAUCUGGAACGGACAAUCCGAGUUGACUCGUUGGGUUAGAUCAGAUCUGAUGAAAGCGUCUGUUGAGAGCUUUCUUUCUUUCUUUCCGACUAGCUGGAAAAAUGGAAUAAGUGAUGAUGCAAUGGCGUUUAAGCGUGGGGCGAGGGCUUAUAUGUGCUGGAGAAUGUGAAAGGAGUUUUCGUGGAAUUUUAAAACACGCGUGAUGAUGUUCGUUCGGACAUGGGUUUAACGGCACAGCCGCGGAGCGUUUGUUCCUGUUAAUCGUGGGCCCACGCUGCUACCGAGGGAAGAUAUGAGUGGAAUUUAACGGUGUUAAUCUGGUCAAUUUUGGUGGAACGCAAUUGUUACAGCGUCAACCCGUCGACUAGCAAUUACUCCACUUACUAUGUUGGAGGAUGUUCUUGUUUGGUUCUUCUAUUUUAGGGCAUGGUUAAGGGGAUGCACUGGACAAAAAUUACUACUCCCUCCGUUCCACUUUGAUAGUCCUGUUUUUCUUUUUCGUCUGUCCCAAAUUGUAAUCCAUUUUUCAAUUGAAUAAUGUAGUUAUAUUUAAAUUUUCUAAAAUAUCCUUAUCUAAUGUAAGUUAUUGUUACUAUAAACCUACUCCAUUUAACGAGAGUUUAUUCUUCUUUUACCAUCAAUUCAAGUUUCCAUAAAGUUGUACUCUAAUUAAUGUGAGGGUAUUUUAGAAAAAUAGCUACCUAAAUUGAUUGUUCCAACAAAAUUAACUACUUUUCUUAAACUGUGUGAAAAAAGAAUCAGGACUAUCAAAGUGGGACGGAGGGAGUACUAAUUUAAGGCACAGAUUAGAUGUAUAAAGACUUUUUAUAACGAAAAUUGCUGGACUGGUAGUGUAACUUGUAAUUUGCAAAUGUGUCUGUGGCAUGUGAAGGUGUGUUAAUGUUCUAUUCUGAGUUUAUGGCGGAAAACAAGCAUCAACAAGUCGACAGAAGUAUGCUCAAUAUUGAUUUAAAUAUUAAAAUGAAUAUUUGAAUUUGACUUGUGUUUGAAAUUUUUUUGAAAGAAAUUGACCAAAUUUGGCUUGAAAUUCCAUAUGUAUAUUUACAAAAAUUUUGGUUUAACUUGUCAAAAUAUCAUGUUCAAGCACAUACAAUCAAAUUUUGAUUUGGUUUGAAAUUUCAUGUUGAAUUAUAUAGAGCUUUUCGCCCUAAUUCGUAGCUUUUUUCCUUGAUUUUUGCUAUCUGAUAUUUAAGAAAUCUAUUACAAUAAAUUAUGAAUUGUGAUUAAAAUCAAUUAUGAAAUGUGAUUAGAAACUUCCAAAUUUGAUUGAUAUUUAAACAAACAAGUUUGAAUGACUCUGAUUCGAGUCGAAUUCAAGUCGAGUACCAAAUUGUUUAUUUCCAUUUACAACCCUAUCUGAGUUUCUUAAUAAAAUUAUGUGAUCCUGUGAUUCUAAUUUUCACGUUCUUGUAGUACUGUACUUGAUGUUAAAAUGCAAGAGAUACACUUUUAACUAAUUCUUUCGCUUUCUCACCGCAUUGCCAAUUUUUGAAAUGCCAUUUAUCUCGAAGUCUAAAUACUCCUAUAUUUCAAAGUGAUUCAUUUGAACUUUCUCACAUUAGUCGGCCAUUUAGUUGACAAACAUUUCACGAUGCCAAUAGAUGCACAACUUCAAUACCCAGGAUUUGGAGUGACCAGGGAGAUCUCUUCAGUUUUACAAACUUCCACUACCUAAUAAUAUAUGAGUAAAUCUUUUCUACGCUGAUGGUGUACACACUAUCAUCGUUGGAUUCAUGACAUGUGUGCAAGAGUUGAAUUUUAAAUUCAAAUUUUGCAUAGUUUUCAAUCAUCCAACGCUGAUAGUGUAUACACUGUCAGUGUAGGAAAGAUUAAUCUAUAGUAUAUAUAUAUAUAUAUAUAGAGUCAUUGAUAUGUAUACUUGAGAGAUUUAGUUAGUCCUUAGAAAUUAGAAAUUAUGGUUCCAAUUUUCCAUUUUCUUUGCCUUUUACUUCUUAAAUCUCGGGUUGAAAAAAAAAAAGAAAAAAGAGGAGUGAGUGAUUCACUUAACAACUAUUAAUGGGAAUUAAGCUAAAGAUUGAGGGAUACUAGUGAUUGGAAAUGGGGAAGGGGUUGCCGUGGCGCGUAGCGAAUGCUGCUUAGCCAGCUGGAGGGGACCGUUGACGGACGCUGGGAAGGUUUUGAAAAUGCAGCUCAUAAUCAAUGCAGGCGACAAAUACAUCACAUGCAUGUAUUCGUGAAAGGAGAAGAUUCCUAACGAGGCCGAGAAGGCGUGUUUUCAAACGAAACUUGCCAUCUAGACGACGAGGCUGACGCGUCUCGGUCUCCUGUUACCUACGCGCACCCAACGCUUUGGCAUUGAGGAAUUAUUGACACUUCAAUCAAGUAGUUGGUGCCACUUGCGAUCCAGACAAUUUGGUUUAAACUAUUCUAAGCUUGAUUAUUUAAUUGAAUUUAAUUAGAUUAGCAUGGAUUAUCAGCUAUAUACUUUUGUUAAGUUGAUGACUCGUCUUGAGAAGCAACCAACUUGAACAUAUGAAUGAACAGUGCCAGUCAUAAAUGGAUGAAAACCUAAACUUGGCUAGGAAGCAAUUGACAAUUGGACAAGCACAUAUUCUAGGAUACCUCCUCUUGACUUGGUUUGAAAAUGCCAUUGAACAAAAUUUGGUGGUUAAUUACAAGCUUUUGAUUUUGUUUAUUAAAAGUUAUUUUGAGCAUUGUCCUUUAUCAAAACACUUGCGCCCAUAUGAGUUAGGGAAUGUGUGAUUAAUAUCACUUUGGAUUAAAGAUGAACUUUUCAAUUGAUCAUUGUAGCAGAUUACAUUAUGACGUAUGCGAUAUAUAAAAAUAAUUGAGAAACAUGUUUAGUAAUCAGAGUUCAAAUCCUAGUUGUAGAUCAAAAAUAUUUUUGUAUUUUUAGUUAAAUCUAAUUAGUGUGCAACAGCAGACUUUUUUAGUUUAGAUGCGGGUUUCUCUCUUUCUAACUCCUCAUGAUCCAGUUAGGUCCUCCUUUAGUAUAUAUUAGAACCGGAGUAUUAUGUUAAUGUUGUCGAUUGACAAAAAACGAAAAAUGGUUUGUGUGCCAAUGGUCAACUCAAUUCCACAACUAAUAACUAUCAUUUGUAUUUGAUACAUAUUAUGAAAAAUUAAGGGGUCAUUUUUUGAUCGAAACCAAUCUAAGAAAGGACUUUGAAUGGACCAAUCUACUUGGCCAUCAUUCCGAAAAUGUUUUAAACUAGACCCCACUGCAUCUAGUAACGUAAAAAAGCAAAUUUUAUUAACAAAAUAUUGGAAAUAGUUCAGCACGACUUGAUCUAUAUUACUGUCCUAGUGACAAGUUAAAUUCAUUAAAAAUUAGAGAUCUGCAAUAUAACAGAUGCAAUAGAUUCAAAAAAUUAUGAAUAAAUCUGAAAAAUAUAAAAAAUUUAAUUGUUUUCUAGUAGAUAGAUCAUUGCAACUUCCUUCUAUGCAUGUUACAAUUGCCAAAUCUACUAAUGAACAAUUUUAAACUUCAAUAGUGAUGAUGAAAUAGAUCCAAGAUUAAAAAUAAAUAAAUCUGAUAACUAGAUUUGAAAUAAAUCUAUAUCUAACAACAACAACAAAAAAAGAAAAAAUAAAUAAAAAUCCCCAUAGAAAUUCGUAGGAGAAUUUAAUAAAAUUCUCAUUAGAAAUUUCUAGAAAUAACAAAAAAACUCUCACUAAGAGGGACGUUAUUGAAAUAAUAAUAAUAAAAAAAAAGAAACAGAGACUCGUGAGAGGGAAACCAUGGCGUGGAUACUAAUUGACAAGAAUCCACGGUGGCUGUUCUGGAUACUAAUUGACAAGUAUUAACAAAGAAGACGAAAUGAAGAAGAAGAAAAAGUUUUUCCAAUCGACCCUUUUAUUAAUUUUGCGCUGAACGCUUGCUUGUAAAGUCUUAUAAUACAAUUAACCACUUAUAAUGAACUUUCAUAUAUUCUGUUGCUUCCAGCAUUUUUUGGGACUAGUAUCUUGUCUUUGUUGAUAAUCAUCUAGCAAGAAAAAGAUUCCUUCCUUCCAAAUAUAUAAGAUGAAUAAUUCGAGUGAAUAUGGGUCGACACGAAGAGCAUCUCGGGGUCCCUUUUCAUCCUCCUCCACUGGAGUCUUGAGUCGAGGCUAAAAGGCCUAAAACGCUCCUUUUUACCCUUUGACAGAUCAAAAGCUGGUUAUUUGAUGCCCACUCCGAAGGACAUGGUGAAAAAGCUCAGAAAGCCACUUGUCAGAAAAGGCACCCAACAGCUUCGUCUAUAUUGUACGACGCAAGAACACUGCAGUGUGUGUUCUAGAUAGGUUAUUAUUUAAAAUAAUUAUUGUAGUAUUUUUUUUGAAAUAUAAUUAUAUGACAUAGAAAAAAAAGUGAUCCAGAAGAUAAAAAGUUGAUGAUAAAUUAUGUUUGUGAUGCAAGUAAAAUAUUAUUUAAAAUAAAAAUGCUGUCGAAAAAGAAUUGAUCUACUGAAACUUUAACAAGAUAUAAGAUUAUGUUAGAAUAUUUCUAGACAGUGUGUUUGUAGGAUAUAGUAACUUGUUUAGAGGACUAAUCCCAUUUUGUACCUUUUAUGUAAUUUCCACUUCACAUCUCGAGUUUUUAUUCUUGACACUUUAUAUCCCAAUUUUAUCAAAACUUCAUAAAUUACGCCUUUAUAUUUUAUUUUGGACAUAUCAUACCCCGCCUUUACCAAUUUAGCCCCAAAUUAUUUUAAAUCUUGCACACUGCGAAUGAAAAUAUACCAUCAACAAAUGACUACACACCACUUUCAGCUAAAAGCCUAAAAAAAAAAAAAAAAAUGCACGAGUUUAGGUGUUUACUUCAUAUCUUAUACGUAGAGGUAAUGAUUUCGUUCAAGUAUUAUUAAACAAACAUAAAUUGCCGUUAUUCGUUAAGUUUUCUGAGGUUUGAGUUAAUUAAUUCAAAUUGAGAAAAUAAUUUUUGUCCAUUUAAUAUUUAAACGAACUUGAACUCUCUUUGUAUGGUAUGCAAACAAAAAAUUGAGCUUCUUGUAUCAGGCUAAGUUUAGCUCUAUUGUUUAUAUAUUUUCAUUCACGAUGUGCAAGAUUCAAGCAAUUUAGGAUAAUUUGUAACUUUGGAGAUGAAUAUUCACAGCAUAAUGUGGUAAGUUUUGGUAACUUUAUGGUAAAGAGGUAUUUAUAAUGAAAGUUUGUGGUACAAAGUGGAAAUUGUCCUUGUGAAGGCCUUACAUUUUGUGAUCUAUAUUCACAAAGUCAAAUUGGGACCGGAAACACAGGGAAUAACAAAUAUGGCUAGUGGCAGAUAAUAACUGGGAAUUAGUACUCGUGCAUCGCACAACAUGCCAUAUGACACACAUGUUGCACCCUGCCCUUUUCUCCCAAACCGAACACAUUGCUUGCAGGCUUGAUUCUCAUUCAUGAGUAAUAUUAGUAUAUUUUGUCCAUCUGUCAAGCAUAUUCUCAAAUUUUCAUUAAUGGCUCGUUGGAUUCCUCGUUAUUUGAAAAACAAGUUUUUUAUAGACUAUAUAUUAUAUUAAUAUAUAAAUAAAAAUAAUUUUAAAAACAUCACAUCCAUACAAUAUAUCAAAAAUAAUUUCAAAUAUAUAAAAAAAUACACACCACCACCACUAAGUCCACUAUCACCACCACUACCAACCAUCAAAAUCAUACCGUCACCCGCCGCCCCUUCCCCCUCUUUCCUCCCCCUCAUUCUUCCUCAUCCUCCCUCUUCCCCUCUCUUUUCUCCUCUUUUUUUCCUUCCUCCCCACGCCUCUCUCAAUAGCCCCCUCCCCCUCUCCCAUCGCGACCAGAUUUGGUUGCAUGUGGUGACCAUUUUCUAGUCGCGAUCCGUGAUCUGAGAGAUGGGAGGGGAGGGUGCGGUGAGAGAGGUUAGGGAGGAGGGAGGGGGAGAGAGCAAGAGCAGGGGUGGACUCAUUAAAAUUUUAAAAUUUAAAAAUAUCCCAAAAUAUAUUUUCAAAACACUCGAAAAACAGUAUAAAAAACAUUUACAGUAAAAGUUUUUUAACUACAUUAUUACAAUAAAAUAUUUCAAAAACAGCUUAAAAAGAAACUAAUCCAAACGGAGCGAUUUUUUCGCAACGAUAACAUUCCUAAAACCUAAUUUAUCCUAUUCAACACGAUUUUUUUUUCGCAACGAUAACAUUCCUAUUAAUCUAAUAUAUCAUAUUCUAUAGGGAAGGGAUUCACCUAAUCUAUCAUAUUCUACAUUGAUGUGUAAGGGGCUACUAGAUAUAUAGAUCUGAUUAAAUAAAAAAGGUAUUCUGGUACUUUCUUUGAAAAUUUUCACUACAGAUAAAGUUUAAACCCCUGACCUGCAGUCCAAAGAGGGAUUUAAUCUCUUUUGGUAGCCAUUGAGUCAAAGAUCAGCGGUUCUCAAAUUUCCAUCUCGGUGAAGGCUGGGUUGUUUGAACUCAACAUCACUAAAGAGUCUAAAAAUGCCCACUCGACAUAGACUAGGCAACUUUGUUAUUGCCAUCGAAUAAUCCCAAAACUCAGUUAGCAUCAAAAUCGCGCUUGCUUUAAUUCCACAGAGGAGCCAAACCACAAUUCCAAACAAGAGCGAGCUCGACCUAUUUGCUCAUGGCCAAAUUAAGGUUUUGAAUUUAUUAGAGUCACCAGGGAUUAUUUUUAUUUGGUGAGCUACGAAAACUUCCGCUCGACACCUUGUUGCUGUCCAAAAGAAUCAAAUUUCCAUUGCCAAGAGUCUGUGCUCUUUAGAAUACCCAAAGUUGUCGUAUAGUUUCUCCGUACACUUCUUUUCACUGGGCUUUUGUGCCCAAAGAAGACUGGUCUUUAACUAAAAUUGUCUCUCAUCCACGUUAAGCAUGCUUGGCGUUCAUAGAAAUUUUAGGGAUCCCAUCACCAGUCCGAACAGACAAAUUUGCGCCAAUGACUUAACUGUCAAUAUGCUCGUAACCAUCAUUUUCCAAUAAUUUAUAUCAAACGCCAAGGCUGCUUGUCCUGCUAGGCAUAACAGGCCCAUCCACUCAUAUUGGGCUUUUGUAAGUCUAGGGCCUCCACCCAAGGACCAAGGUCUUCAGCAUUGUACUCGCCCCCGUGCUCCAAAAUCAAUUCCACGAGCUCUGCACGCCACGUACUGGAAGUCUGGCAAGGUCAACCAAUCGAAUACAUGCAGUUUAAUUGAAGAAUACGCAACUCAAAACAUCUGUAUAGUUUUUCCUCACAAGACGAGGUUAAACACCCGUCGCCUUCUAUAUUUGCAGCAAAUUAUUGCGUGUCACCAUCAUCUUUCCUUAAUAUAUCCAAGUUUAUCUGAAGAUAAUUUGUGACUCUACAUUUAGAUUUUCAGUUUCUUGAGGACAUGAAAAAAAAGAAAAGAAACCAACAUCUUAUAUGACACAAUUUCAGUUGGUAAAUAGUAAACACUUUUGCCCGAUAAAUUGCAUCAUGUAAAGAAUAAGCAUUAGGUACAUCAGGUAUGCCACGUAAUAUAUCAGAUAAUGUACUAAUAUCAAUCAUCUAUAGUCAAAAAAUUUUGAUGAAUUAUUCAUAUUAUUUACUAUCAUAUAAGCGUUGACUCACGAUAGUAGUCAAUAAUUUUUGAUUGAUAUUAAACUAUUAAUAUAUUAUCACGUAACAUACAUUUUUUUUUUGUAUCAGACUUUUGAAGUUAGUUAAUUAAACAUAAUCCCAAAUUUAACCCCAAAAGUCGAUAACUUUUGAGGCAAACUUGGGGACUUAACUACCCGACCCCAAACCCCUUAGAAUCGAUAUGGGACUACGGGAAAGUUAGUAGGGAAGCCUCUAUUAGGUCUUAACGAAUAACCCACUUAUCCCAGAUACCGCCCCUACGUCUAUCACGUAACAUACAUGAUCUCACUAAAAUUUUUUCAUUCAGCAGUACUAUUAACCAGCAAGUCUCCUAACGGGCCGUAAAAUGCUUUUACGUUCUUCAUUAAGUACAAGGUCUUCUUACUCAAGAUAUUCAUUUCCACUUAUGGCUUUGGAAGCUACCCAUGUGAUUCCAUUAAAUUACUUUUAUGUGCUCCGGAUGGAGAAGAUUUGUAUGCCAAAGAUUUUGCUAAGAAAUCCAGCCAUCUAGUUAAUGCUGACUGGAAAAUAGCCUUCCUUCUACUUGCUCCUCAUAUUUUCUUUCUGUAAAAGGAAUACUUUCCUUUAGUUUCCACAGGGAGAAUCUAAGCUUUCUAGUCUCUAAAUUGCUCAUUCCCAUUACCAUAUCUCCGAAUGGGUAAAACUAGGAAGCUCAUUGAGUAAAACAGACCCGAGUUAAUAUUCAGCAAGGAUGGGAAAAAGGGAAACCUCAAAAUAGUUAUUAUUACUCUAAUAACUGGCCGAUAGUCAAAUAGAUACUGAAAACGCUACUGCAAAAUUAAACCACACGACCAAACUUCGCUAGAAUAGAAUAUUCUCAACCUAAAUAAACUGGUGAUGCAAAAUUAAUACUAAUACUACAAUCCAUGCAGAAUAAUGGGCUUCAAGAGAAGACAUUUGGCCAAAAUAUGAAAUCCAACAAAAAGCAAAGGGCGACUUAAAACUUCAAGAAUUGUACAUUAGACAAUAGAGAGUAGUAGUAAAGUACAAUUUUUUAAGGUGAAGAAAAAGGGUUGAUGAGACUAAAAAGAUAGUACUAGUAACUACACGUUCGGAUUGCGUUUUUCUGAUUUUUAUUUUAAAAAAAAUACUGUAAUGAUUUGAUAUAUAUAAAAUAAUAAAUAAAAAAUACAGCAGCAAUUUUUCUUUCCAAACAAGUAAAAUGGAAGUCCAACAAAAAUGGUCUUUAAGAUCUUGUACCAGAGCCUAGCCUACCAUCCCUCCCUUAUCGCAAGAGAAAAAGAAUGGGAAGCUGCCUACACCACCAUUUUUGAGCAAAUGGGCCUCAAAACACAGAGCAGAGAAGGGCAGUCGGGUCUGGAGUUCUCCCCGAAUCUACAGAGUUGACGUGGCAUCCACCGAUUCCUCUGUGUUAUGGAAACACAACGGAGGAAUACAAACACCUCAUAAUUGAUAAUUCCCUCUCUACCCGUCUCUGCUCUUCUCUAAAUGGACCUAAAUUUUCUCUUUCUUUCAUCACUAAACACCAGUCGGUUAUCACUUGGUCAAUUGGACGCCCCUAUUAUUAUGGGAUAUUAUUUAUUCGUCAUUAAUUAUCACUUACCAAAACUUUAGCCAAAACAAAAAUUAAAUAAUUAUCACUUGCCCAAAAGCUAAAAACCAGAAAAGCAUAUAAAUAUAUAUAUUUAUGGUAGCAGUACCUGUGCACAAUUGGCAGAAACAUAUUAAUUAUUUAUUUAAUCCACUAUUAAUUAAUAAAAAUUAAAUAGGCAGAUAAAAAUAAAACCACUUUCAAUACGUGUAUUUAAUCCUCUCUCAUGUAGUAGUUGAAAAACAAAACCCUAAAAGGGGUUCUCUGUAAGAAACGAUUCGCCGCCGGGUUUGAUCUCUUUUGUCUAUCUAUCCUUCCUUCCUUCUUCCUUUCUUUCACUCAUUACCGUCACCUACCUCAAUCUUCCAACCCCACUUCUCGAUCCUCAGCUUCUUUUAUCUCUUUUUCUUUCUAGAAACUGUUUUUCCUGCAGUUCUUCAAAUUUCAGGGGAAAACCAUGCUGGUUAGAAUUGCUUUUCCUUGUUUUUUGGCCUAGUAAUUCAUCAUGGAGAUUGAUAAAGUUGUCGCCUUUUUUUGUCGAUCAUAUGUUUUUGAUGCUCUGAUAUCAAAAAAAUGAUGAUAAAGAUUGCAUUUUUAUGAGGUUAAAGAUUUGACUUUUAGGGUUGUUUGCAAGACUCUCUUGGUUUUUGGUGAAAUUGAUUAUAAGGUUCUAAUUUGUAUUUGCUUUCUAGGGUUUUAGGGUUGGUUGUUGGUGAUUAAGCUUUUUAAUUUUUUUUCCUGUGGAAUGAGUGGAUAGUUUUUUGCUGGUGAAGAUGAUAUCUGACUUGGGUAGGAGACCAAUGCUUGGGAGCAAUGAAAAUUCGUUUGGAGAUGAGUUGGAGAAGGAAAUAGGGCUGUUGCUUCGAGAACAGAGGAGGGAAGAUGCUGAUGAUCGUGAAAAGGAGCUCAAUUUGUAUAGGAGUGGGUCAGCUCCACCUACUGUUGAGGGAUCAUUGAGUGCUGUAGGUGGAUUGUUUAACCAUGGAGUUGGUGUGGCGGAGGCGGUGGCCCUGUGUUUCAGACUUUGCCCGUGAUAAGGGUGUUAAUGGCUUCAUGUCCGAGGAGGAGCUCAGGUCUGAUCCUGCUUAUUUGUCUUACUACUACUCCAAUGUGAAUUUGAACCCCAGGUUGCCACCUCCUUUGUUAUCAAAGGAGGAUUGGCGGUUUGCGCAGAGGUUACAAGGAGGGAGUUCUGCAAUUGGGGAUAGAAGGAAGGUGAAUAGGAAUGAUAGCGUUGCAGGCACAAGAUCACUUUUUGCAAUGCCACCAGGUUUUAAUUCCAAAAAACAGGAGACUGAGAACGAUUCAGAUAAAGUUCAAGGUUCAGUGGAGUGGGGUGGUGAUGGAUUGAUUGGUUUGCCUGGAUUAGGGCUAGGUAGCAAGCAGAAGAGUCUCGCUGAAAUAUUUCAGGUGAAUAUAUUUGUGAAAUUUUGUGUGUACCUAAUUUACAUUGUGAAGUUGAAAUGUGGAGGGGUGAUACCCAGUCCCGUCCCUGAUGAUGCAAAAAAUGAUAAUCAUUAGAAAUUUUAGAUUUGAGAUACUGAAGGAUUAACUGCAUGCAUGUUAGUUGCCUGAUUGAAUGGGAAUUUAGAGAAAUACAAGGUCGAUUUGUCCUUGGAUUGCUGUUAGUUCACAGUGUUCAUGUCUUCCAACGGCUUGACAAUAUUUCUUGCAUCUUCAACUUCUAGACCUGAUUGUCUGUGAUUUCAUUACUGGAAUGUUUACUCUUGGUGGGUGAGCGUAGUGCCUCUAUUUUGGUCUCUGUUUCAAUUUUUGUAGUUUUCUGGCAUGCCCUUGUUAUUGUGACUUCCUGCUCUCUAAUGAUUAAAAGUUGCCAUUUUCUCCCACUGGCAGCAUAGUUUAAUCAUUCUGUUUAACUUCAGGCUUGACUGCUUGCUUUAACAUUUUCCUAAGCUUCCUUUCCUCUGUUUUAUGAUUCAUUACGAAAAAACAUGUAAAUUGUGAUUCGGUUCACCAAGAUUUCCUGGUCAGUAAUGCAAAAAAUUCAAGCUUAUUUAGUCUCUUAUCCUGAUAAAAGGUUUGGAAUGAUGGUUUGCUCAAAUUCAUGGUUUCUAAUUCUCUCUCUCUCUCUCACACAUUUGUCAUGGUAUUGGAUUUCAAUGAAGUUUCAAGACCUUUUUCCUUUUUCCUUGAAUAAUGCAUUUUGUUUUCAAAGAGCCAUUCCACACAUAGGUAUGAAGAAAGAAAUUAAUACAGUGAUCCAAUUAUAAUUUGUUGAAAGUACUGUACAAAAAACCAUAAGAAGUGGUUGAGAAGAAUCUAUACCUGCUAUAUUUGCCAAUCGUGUGCCAACUAAUCUAAAACAUGGUGUUCAGUUGUUGCUACGCGAGUUAUACAAUUCUUAUGUUUCAGAUAGUGGACAGUCAGUGUUUGGCUAUCUCUACAAGUUUGUAGGAUAAUUUCAUUUGAUCCAUGCAAUUUCCAGUUAAUGUAGCACAUAAAUCAUGUUAGGAAAUAUCUUCUCCGCAAUGAUGCGCAACAGAUUGAUCCUUUGUAUGCUUAUUCGUUCUUUAUUCCUUAUUUUGUAAUGAGAAGUUAGACUGUGAAUGAUUUAGCUUGUUAAUGCCCUUGUCAUCAAUUCUGGUGGUUAACUGCACAAGGCAUGCAGUUGUGCUUGCUUAUUCUUAUUGUGACGAAAUAUAGUUUGCUCAUUCUCUGCUGUAAACUUGGAUUUUGCAGGAUGACUUAAGCCGAGCAACUUCUGCAUCAGGACACCCUUCACGCCCAGCUAGCCGUAAUGCUCUUGAUCAAAAUGCUGAUCCUUUGGGCCCUGCAGAAGCUGAGAUGGCUCAACUUCACCGCGAUUUAGCGUCUACUGACCCUUUACGUUCUACUGUCAGUGCUCAGAGUGCAUCUGCUGCUCAACAUGUUGGACCACCCACAUCAUAUUCAUAUGCUGCUGCUUUGGGUGCUUCCUUGUCUAGAAGUACCACUCCUGAUCCCCAGCGUAUUGCAAGGGCUCCUAGUCCUGGCCUUGCUCCUAUUGGUGGAGGAAGAGCAAGCACUUCAGAAAAGAGAAACAUUAAUAGUCCAAGCUCCUUUAACGCGGUCUCAUCUCAGGCAAAUGAUUCGGCAGAUUUAGUAGCUGCUUUGUCUGGUAUGAACCUUUCAAAUGGUGUGGUAGAUGAAGAGAAUCGUUUGGCAUCUCAAAUUGAUCAAGAUGUUGAUGACCAUAAAAAUUAUCUUUUCAACCUGCCGGGUGGUCAGAACAAUUCAAAGCAGCAUGGUUACUUUAAGUCUGACUCUGGUCUUAGCAACAGCAGUGGUUCAGACCUUAGUAACUCUGCUCUUCAAACUGACUCUCGGAAAACUGGCAUUCUUCGUAAUAAUUCAUACCAAAAAGGAUCUUACCUCCAACAUGCUUAAUGGCGGUGGUGGCCUACUCUCACAGUACCCACAUUUGGAUAGUCCAAACUCCUCUUUUUCAAAUUACAAUUCAAGUGGCUACACAGUGAAUCCACUGACGGGCAAUCUUGGCAACUUUAAUCUUCCGCCAUUGUUUGAAAAUGCUGCCGCUGCAUCCGCCAUGGCUGUCCCUGGAAUGGACUCAAGAAUCUAGGUGGAUCAAAUAUAGGCUCUCCUGUUUCAGAGCAUAAUCUUAGUAGAAUGGGGAAUCAGAUGGCAGGGAAUGGUUUGCAGUCACCUUAUAUGGAUCCAGCCUAUUUGCAGUACUUGAGGACAGCUGAGUAUGUUGCUAACCAGGUUGCUGCACUUAAUGAUCCUUCAUUGGAUAGGAACUAUAUGGGCAAUUCAUACAUGGACUUGCUUCAAAAGGCCUAUCUUGGCUCUGUGCUAUCUCCUCAGAAAUCGCCAUAUGGUGUUCCUGCAGGUACAAAGAAUACCGGUUCCAAUCAUCAUGGUUAUUAUGGGAAUCCUGCUUUUGGUGUUGGGUUAUCAUAUCCUGGAAAUCCACUAGCAAGUCCAGUCAUUCCUAAUUCUCCUGGUGCACCUGGAAGUCCCCUAAGGCACAAUGAUUUUAACAUGAGAUUUCCUGGUGGAAUGAGAAACUUAGCUGGAGGUGUCAUGGGGCCUUGGCACUUGGAUAAUAUAGACAAUAGCUUUGCGUCCUCGCUGCUAGAAGAGUUUAAGAGUAAUAAGACCAAGUGUUUUGAGCUCUCAGAAAUUGCAGGGCAUGUUGUCGAGUUCAGGUAUAUGCUGACUUGCACAUGUUUGACUUCCUUUUGAUAAUACUGACUUCUAUUGACUUGUAUUCUUUAUGAUCAGUGCGGAUCAGUAUGGCAAGUCGUUUCAUUCAACAGAAACUUGAAACUGCAACAACUGAAGAGAAAAACAUGGUCUUUGAGGAGAUUAUUCCUCAAGCUCUUACUUUGAUGACUGAUGUGUUUGGUAAUUAUGUGAUCCAAAAGGUAUUUGGCAUAGCUGUCUCUUCUUUCUGGAAUCUUUGUCACUGCUAGCAUUUUGACCCAUAUAAUUGGAUUUCUGCAUAAUGUCUAGUAUUUGACUUUUAGCAGCUUUUUCUUCAUUUUAGUUCUUUGAACAUGGAAUGGCAGCUCAAAGAAGAGAAUUGGCUAGCAAGCUCUUUGGGCAUGUGCUUACCUCAGCCUUCAAAUGUAUGGUUGUCGAGUUAUACAGAAGGUAAUACUUUGGAUUGAGUUUACAUGUUCUAAUGUUGGUUUUCCUGCUAGGAUUUCUAUCAAGUUGUGGAUGGAGUAUCUGUGGUUGAUUGCCUUGUAUCAAACUUAUUUUGAAAUUAAACCUCAUCUAACUGAAUCGUCAUGGUAAAUUUCGUUGACUCUUUUAGGCUAUUGAAGUAGUUGACGUGGACCAGAAGAUUAAAAUGGUUGAAGAGCUUGAUGGGCAUGUCAUGCGCUGUGUACGUGAUCAGAAUGGAAACCAUGUUAUCCAGAAGUGCAUUGAAUGUGUCCCAGAAGAUCAUAUUCAAUUUAUUGUCUCCACUUUCUUUGGCCAAGUUGUUACUCUUUCUACCCAUCCUUAUGGGUGUCGCGUGAUACAGGUCCAUACAUACUUAUGCUUCAGAAUUAAUAUUUUAAAGCAUACCCUAUCAAAGGGAUCAAUGCCAUCUGAACCUUUCAACAUUCUUUGUAUGGCAGAGAGUCCUGGAACACUGCAGUGACCCAAAAACUCAAAGCAAAGUGAUGGAAGAGAUUCUUGGAUCUGUGAGCAUGUUGGCGCAGGAUCAAUAUGGCAAUUAUGUUGUUCAGGUUCAUACUUUUCUGAAAAGAACUCGCCUUGCACUUUAUGUUUAGCUUUUUUCUUCAUUUGCUGUGAAAGAUCAAAUUUUUGUGUUUUAUAGUCCAAAAAUGUCAAUUUGGUUUCCUUGACCUUGCAACUGUUGUCAAAUUGAUAAGUAUCUUCUUGAUUUGAUCAUGAAUAGGUGAUCACUUGAUUGUAUUUUGGUUUUGAGAUUGCUUGAGUACUAUUUGGAUGCAGUUCUAGUUUUUACUCUGUCAGUUCUUCAUUUCUCACUUUUGAUUGAUUUUCUUCCUUGUUUAAUAUGGUGGAUUGGUGGGAGGGGGAAGGGGAGGGGGAUUUUCGAAGGUAAUCUCAUGGAGGGUUGUUCAUAUUAUUGGUGUUUUUUAUACCUCCAACUCCUAACUGUUUCGUAGAUGAACAUUUUUUGGUUUAGAAUUUCACUCGAGUGCUGGAAUUUUUAGAAUGCAAGUAGGAAGCUAUAAAACACGCAAAUACAAAUGAAUCGACUAUUUAAAUCUUAGUUCUCAGAGAUUAGUGUCAUUGGCAGUAAUCAUAGGUGCUAUAAAUUUGAGCAGUUGUGAUGGUUUAAUGUAGAUAUUAUCUUGUCAACAAUUCCUGACGUCAUGUUGCGCGGUUUGGGUAUAUUUACUGGGUUCCAAUUCCUUGAACCUUCUUCUGAUCUUGCUUUACUUGUAAUAGCAUGUACUGGAGCAUGGCAAGCCACAUGAGCGUACUGCUAUAAUUCAGGAGCUAGCCGGAAAGAUUGUCCAAAUGAGUCAGCAGAAAUUUGCCUCAAAUGUAGUUGAGAAGUGUUUGACUUUUGGUGAUCCUAGUGAACGUCAGCUUCUGGUGAAUGAGAUGCUUGGUACAACUGACGAGAAUGAGCCUCUUCAGGUUUGUCAUUUCUUCCCCUUAUAAAUGAUUCACGUUUAGUAAUCUGAGAGUCGCAAGGGCUAUAAAAAGUUUGAUUAUGCAAAUUAUAGCAGCCUAUGAAUAAGAAACAGUGUGAAGUUGAUUUCAGGCUAUGCAAAAGUUCAGUAGAAGAUUGGUUGUUUUAACAGCCUGCCUCUUUAUGCUUCUCUAUGCAGGCAAUGAUGAAAGAUCAAUUCGCAAAUUAUGUUGUACAGAAAGUGCUGGAAACUUGCAGCGAUCAGCAACGGGAAUUGAUCUUGUCAAGAAUCAAAGUUCAUCUGAAUGCUCUGAAGAAAUACACAUAUGGGAAGCAUAUUGUUGCGCGGGUAGAGAAACUUGUUGCUGCUGGUGGUAUGUAGUUGCUUUCUUAAUAAGUUAGUGUCUUCUGUAGUUACCUAAAAGAAUUCACAGGGAUGCCCAAAUAGCUUCUUGCAAAUUUCUGGUGUCCUGGAUUCAGAAAUUCAGACCUAAACCUGAAUUUUACUUUUUGCUUGUUUGCGUCUGCUGGUGGUAAUUUUUGACUCUCUCGAGCAAUUUUGUGGCAAUAAAAGGCCUAUAAUAACCUUCGGUAACCUAAUAUUGUGUGGAAUUACUCAUGCUUUAGAGGGCUGUUCGGAUGCCUGUUAGUAAUUAACUAAUAACUGUAGGCCUGUUGAAGGUUCAGCAAUUCUCCUGGAACGUCUUUAGUUAUUUUGGUGAUGCAACUUAUUUCAAUCAGGUAAGGCGCAUUUUGUAAUUGACUAAUUACCUUGAUUGUGUGCAGAAAGGAGAAUUGCUCUUCAGAACCCACAUCCUGCUUAGAUCAGAUAGGAAAGGAAGUUGUACAGCUAACAGAGGAUAGUUUGAGCUACCUCUCUUCUCUUUCUCCGGAAUCUAGUGUUCGUGCCCUAUGCCUGUCUUCAACAGGUGUCUUGGGCGACUGCAAAUAAAGUUGUUGCUUGUACUAGAAACCUGUACAUUGUGUAGUUUAAGGUUUAUACGUAGAAUCUAGUAAGCCGAGGCUCGGAUGUCAAGUGUUCCUGGUCGCCUUGCAGAGGAGAUAAAUGACAACACGUGUUUAAUGCAUGUAAAAAGGAUAAAAUGUGAGGUAGUUUAUGUUUCAUCGCGACUGUACAAAUGUUGCCUUGUGGAGAGUUGAUCUUUUAGGUGAGAGCCAGAAAGUUUUAUCAUGUAAGGUAUUGACAAUUUUCAUGUCAUGGCCAAAGUAUAUUUAAAUUCUCUCUGAUCUGCCAUGUUUCAAUUUUGUGGUAUUAGCUAUUUCUGUGUUUUAGUAUAGUCUAUUACGUUGAUUUUUUAUCUGGGGAUGUUACAUUGAAUGGUUCGUAAGGUUGCCAUUCUUGUACUCUCAUUGAUCAUUAAAUGGGAUAAAAACUCGUCCAAGUGGAGGAAAUCUAGUUGUGAAUUACUGUGCUGCCCGCCGAAGGAUGGCCAGGGUCUCUGAGAACUCGAAGCUUAGCUGUGUCUUGCCGGUGUUUGAAGCACCGUAAGUUUUAGGCUGUAAUGCAGCUGCAUCUAGCAGAGCCUUAAACCAUCCUCUUCCUUCUUCCAGCGCAGAGGGCUAAAGAAGACGGCAAUUGAAAAGGCAGAAAAUCGAGUGAUAAAAAAUUUAACCAUUUCUCCUGAGUUACAUUAAAUAUUUUUCAAUGCUUUGCACUCGUCGACAGCUUAUGUAAUGUAAUUGUGGAUGCGGGGGAGGAAGAGAGACCCCUUAUAUGUGCCUUGAGCAAUUAUAACCAUAAGCAGCAAACGUUGACGAUCUCUAAUCAGCUCUUAUGACAACUAAAACCAAAAAAAUCAUUGCCAUUCCGUUAUGCAAUACAGAAACAUUUCUUACCAAAAAUUGAGAAAAAAAAAAAGGAGGAAACAUUAGAACGCGUGAAAAAACAAAACAUGAAAAAAUCGCAGAAUAAUCCUAAGCGAUUGUUUUCUUUUCUAAUCUAAUUCAUCACCACCGUCCUCCUCAAUCUUUUGUCCGAAACCUCUAGGCCCAGCUCUUGCUCUACUUCCCAUCUUCCCCUUCUUAACCCUUUUCUUCUUCUCAGCUGCCUCCUCUUUCUCGAAUUGCUCUCUUUCCCUUUUUUGCAAGAAAUCCGUCACACCCAUGUAGAUUACCUGAGAAAGCGAUCAAAACCAUGAAAAAUUAGCAGCAACCCACGUCAGGAUAUCACAAAUCUGAGCACCCCCAUCAAAUUUAAUUCUGGAAAUUCUCACAAGAAAUUAGAAAGAAAAAAAAAGAGAGAGUUGCAGAUGUGUGUGCAAAAAAGGCUGCAGCUUUGAGUUUUUACCCCAACGGUGAGAAUAGAUAAGCCUACGAAAGCAACGAACAGCAGUGCAAAUAUGAUGGAGGAUGCACCAUCAUCACCUGCGGAGACCAGUUCUUGGGAAUUCUCAACGGUGCUCGCCUCUAAAAGCAAAAAACUGUCCCUAAAAGCAGAAAUUUUCCAUCCUUUACCGGUUUUUAGAGGAAGCGCGCAGGGUGGAUUUGGAUAAGAUAAUUUUCUCCUUGAGGGAAAAGAGGAAGGUACCAAUGCAUGAGGCUUAGGCCUGAGAACUAAAGACGUUGGAAGAUGUGAAGGGGAUAUAGUUAUGGAUGUUGUGGCCAUGAGACAUCUGCCACCACUUCUUCCAGACUAUCUUCCACCGUAGUUUUCCUAGCUAUCCAACUCCCAUGAGUCUUUUUGGCUUCCGGCUCCCAGCUGGGUAGGAUAGUGUUCGGGGAAAUCAAGGGACAAAUCAUCUUUGAGUGUGCUGUAAAAGACUCAAUGAAAGACUGACACGUGUCAUAACAGCACUUCCUCUUUAUUGUUUCCUCCACUGAAUAUUAUUUACUUUAGUAAAUUCAUUUAGACAAAUUUUUAUACGUUAAGAGCAUAAAAACUAAAUCGUGCAUAUGAGAUUAAUCUUUUAUACAUAGAUAUCAUAAUACCAGCAAUUCUAAAUACAUGUUAUAAGCAGUAGAUAAAGAGAUAUUUCAAUUUAGUAACAUUAUGGAUUAAUAAUUCUAAAUAUCCAAGUCUAAUUGAGCAUUCUGGAUUGUGAUUUUUUGCAAAUUUUUUUUUUUUUUUUUACGUUUUUUGUAAAUAUAUAUUUUUAAUUAAAUUUUUACCUCAAAUAUAUCAAAUUAUUACAUUAUAUUUUUUUAUAAAAAAAUUCUAAAAUAGCAAUCCGAACGGGAACUUUCGUAGCAGUAUUGGUCAUUUGGUUGAGCUACUCUAGUGCUCCAUAAACGUUUAUUAUUACUUAUUCGGGUCAGAAGGGAAUAUUUCUUUUUUUUUUUUUUUUAUGGGAAAAGAUAUUGAUUUUUGGGCCUAGCUAACCAAUUUGAUAUUGGGCUGACUUCUCUAUGUGAUCAAGAAUAAUGGAUGGUUACGUCUAUUCAAGUGAUGUCGGGACCUGCCACAUCUUCCAUUAUACUAGUACAUCUUUUCAUUUUUGCCUGUCUUAUUUCCUUUCUGAUAGGGCAGGGCAGUAGGCAAAGCAUACUUUAGAUGGCAUGACUGUUAACAAUGCACAUUGCACCAGGAAAGAAUGAUACGCAACACAUUUCGGAAAUGGGGCAGGGACGGUCCCUGAGCAGUUAAAAGGCCAUGAUUUGGCCAAAAAAUUUUGUGCAGUCCAGAUAACAAGUUGUGCAUCGAUUUUCAUACCGUGUGUGGGGCCCGCAAAAUUUUGUAUUAAAGUUACACUAUGUGCAAAUAAAGUUACGCCGUGUGUAAUCAAAGUUACGCGCUGUUGAAAAUGACCAAAACCGUUGGGGACGGUUGCACCUGCAACCGUCUGUGCCCUUUGUCCACACUAGGGUUGCAAAUGAAUCAAGCGGCUCGAGUCAAGCUCGACUUGAGCUCGAUUCUUGGAUUGCGAGCUCGAGUAUAUAUAUAUAUAUAUUUUAUUUUAAGUAUAUAUAUAUUUUUUUUUAUUUUAAGUAUAUAUAUAUUUUAUAUUUUUAUAAUUUUAAUAGUAAAAUUACAUAUAUAUCCUUAAUAUUUUAUUAUUUAUUAAGAAAAAAAUAUUAUUUUUUUAUUUUUUUCGAGUUCGAGCUCGAGUUGAAAUUGUCAGCUCGUCGAACUCGAGCUCGAGUUCGAGUUUAAUGAAAUUAUGUUGAGACUCGGUUCGAUUAGGUCAAAACUCAACUCGACUCGACUCGGCUCGUUUGCAGCCCUAGUCCACACAUUUCAGGGUGGCAACGGGAGCUGGUGCGCUAGGGUAGAAAUGGGGCGGGGCGGAGCGAAGGCAGGGGCAAAAAAUUUUCCCCGCCUUAAAACGGGACGGGGGUGGGACAACAUACACCCGGCCCAUCUUCAACAUACAAAAAAAAUUAUAUAUAUAUGUGUUUAAAUUUAUAGAUGUAUAUAUAAUACAUAUAUAUAUACACACACAAUUAGUUAUAAUUCAAUUUUUUAUAUUUAAUAAUAUAAUUAAUAACAUAAUUGUGAACAUAUAAUUGUGACUUCAUUCUAUAGCAUCUCAGUUGAAUAUUUUAAUGUUAUUUUCAUGCCAUUGACAGGUUGCUAAUAUUCUUUAGUUACUAGUAUUUGCAACUCGUUAAAUGGUUUAAAGUUGAGUACUUAAGCAUUUCUUAUUAAAUAUUUUGAAAUAGAAUAAAUGAUAAAAUUGUCCCAUAAAUAAGUAGAUUGUUAAAUAUGAUAGGUUGAUUUAUUCCCCCACAGGGAUUGAGGGCGAAACGGGGUGGGAGUGGGGCAGGAGGCAAGAGGCAAGGGAUGAGAAAGUUAUUUGACAAUGGGACGGGGGGUGAGGAAUCCUUCCCCUGCCCCAUUGCUACUCUUAAACACGUUUAGCUGCACCAUGCAUUAACGUUUGGUUUAGUUGAUAAGGAUGAAGCGUUUCCUCACAAAAUCAGUUAUGUAUACGAGUCUAACUAUAGAUGUGAGAGUUGUGUUAAUAGAUAAUCUAUAAAUAUGUAAAUGAGCCAUACUUAGAUCACAGACAUAGUGAUCUACAAACUUACGGUCACCUAUUAUAACAAAUUUUUGUAAUACCACAAAACACUCCUUCAACAUUGCUAAUUUAUACAUAGCCCCAAUUUUACUUAAUUUUUUUCUCAUGUGUCGGUGUUCCCUUUCUCCGUCUAUUCCCCAUUUCCCUACCUUUGCUUGGCUUCCACUGCCUUUACCUUGUCUACUUCCUUUACUCACCCUUCUUUACUGUGCCUCUUUUACUUCAUUCUAGGUCCCCUGAAUACAAAAUGUUUAUUAUUCAAUUUUGGUACAAAAUAAUAAUUAGGGCACCCACACAACUAUCAAAAACUCAAGAAUUAGGUUGCACAAAACCCAAUGAUAAUUUGGAAGACAAGAAGGUAUAGAAUGUUGAGUUUGAGGGUGAGACAACUUGGUGUUGCCCUUCAAUUUUUCUACCUUUCUUGUUUAAACCCUGAUUCUCAACUGAGUUGUACAACAAAUUCAAGGUUGUCUUGAUUUGUGAGAUUUUGAACUUUUCUUUUACUAAUCGUGAAUUGUGAAAGCAAAAAAUGCCACGAAAAUCAUGGCAAAAGGCAAUAGUUUUGUUCAUACAAGGUGAAGGAGAUGGUUAAGGUUGCUUGUGAAUACAAGAGAUUGACAAUGCAAUGAGGCUGAGGGGGCUGUUUGCAAAAUUUGGAACUAUGGGAGAGGAGUAUAUAAAUUGAUUUGCUUUGCUUACAUAACUAGACAAGCAGGUAAACAUUUUAUUCCAAAGUGAUCGAACGGCCAUAGGGCGUCCGUAACUCAAAAUCAAGUUAUGGACUGUGAUGGCGCUAUUUUUUCUAUGUAAAUAUAUGUAAGAGAUCUAUAAUUUUAGAAAUAUGUCUUGAUGGUGACUAGAAUUGAAACUAUUUAAACUUUCUAUUACAAAAGAAGAGAGAAAAAAAAUGGUGCAUCAUGCCAAAGAAGUCAAAAAUCAUUUGAGCAAUUAGAGAGAUAUUGAAUGACGACUCACAAUGCAAAAUGGGCCGUUUUGGAAAAAUUUAAUGAGCUAGAUUUGGCAAAUGAAUUUGCCAAGAGGCAGAUUAUCCUUUUGAAUUGUUAUUUUUUGGAGUUUCUGUAGAAAAACAUAAUGUAGUGAUUUGAUAUAUGCGAAGCAAAAAGUGAUUAAGAAAUUUAUUCAUGAAAUCGUAAGAAAUUUUGGAUAGAAAAUUGCAAUCCAAACACCACAUUAACCUUUUUUUUUUUUUUUUGUCUUUUUGAGGGUUUGAGAUACUAACUUCAAUCUGCAAUUAUAGGUCAUUUUCAUAUGACCCUUUGGAUAUCGUAAAGACAACAUGCAUUUUUCUUAAUUAAAUAUCACUAACACAAGAACGGACAACUUCUUCAUUUUAAAAAAAAAUUGUGUUAGAAUUUUGUUGUCAACGUGAGAGUUGUAUUGAUGAAUAUUCUGUAGAUAUACAUAUAAGCCAUCUAUGAUUUCGGAGAUAUGCCCACUAAAGUCACCCAAAACUUUUUAUUACCCAAAAAAAAAAAAAUCAAACGUCUACAGACGGAGUGGAAGGUGAACAAGAUACUCUACCAGAUCCAAGUAUACAAGCCUUUACGGUGAAAAAAUGGAUUACUUGUAGCAAUUUUUUGUGGCGGCAUACGUACCGGUAGUACCGGCUAUUUGAUGUCUUUUGAGAACCCAAUCCGCCGUAAUGUCCAUUUUUGUUGUUGUUACCAGAAUGUUUUCAUGGGGCAAUUUUCGAGGAGAGAUAUCCCUCGAACUUCAGGAUCUGCAUCAUGCGAUCAUGUUGUAACUGGCUCUGCUCACCGUUGACGUGCCUAGGAAUCUGGGCGUGGGGGCUAGUUCGUGGACAAUCCAACGGUGAAGAGAGCAGCACCACAGCAGCUCCCAGUUUGUGCAGUCGGUAAUUGUCCACGUCUUCCCGACACAGCUGUUUUCCAAAGUUAAAUAAUUCCAUUGGUCCACGAUGCCGCCUUUGGUAUCUUUUCACCAAUAACAUCUCCACUUUGUGUUUGCGCUUUUUAUCCCCAUUUGCAGCAAUGAAUGCAAUCAAGAGUCAAACGAUGAAAUGGAAGCUGGAGAAACCCGAAAACCGCUGCAGCCGCAAUUCGGUCAAUAGUAGAAAGAAUUUCCUAAAAUUGGGACCAAAAAAUGUACAGUAUACUCUUACACAAUUUAUGUUUGUAGCGGUAUUACCAAUCCUAUGGUGGUAGUCCUCUUAUUUGGAUUUGCUUGACAAAAUUGGAAUACUACAGAAUUUACACCUACAUUCGUAUGUAUAUGCAUUUAGGCAAUAAAUUAGAAAUCUAUAAAUGUAUGUAAGUGUACGUACAUUUCAGUGUUAAUUUACUUUAUUCUUACAGAGCCGAUAAAAAAAAAAUCAACUUGGUCAUUUGAUACUCAGAAAAUAAAUUAGGGGUUGGGAUUUGGAUUCUUGAGAGUCUCUGAUUAGAAGAAAAUUCGUCAUCAUGAAUUGGUGGUAAUCAAAGACACUAAAUUUUGACAAAAAUAACCCAUACUUUUUUUUUUUUGAUAAUAAAAAUAACACAUACUUGAUCUAACUAGCGUAUGAGUACCUUUCCAAAGCAAGGAAGGUUUUGGGUAAGGAUCGGAGAAGCGAGAGAGAGUGGAGCCCAAGUGGACGGAGAGCGAGUGAGAGAAUUGGAAGAAGAAGAUUUUCCCAAACAUCAGACAGCAAAUAAAGUAAGAGAGAUAGAUAUUUAGAGGAUCAAAAAUAUCUUAGCCAAGGCAUCCAGCGUGGCACCCCAUUUGGAAUCAGAUAUUGCACUUUUUCCUUCACUUUUUAGUAUUUCCCCAACUUAUUUAUUUCCCCCCAUUUUCCACCGCCCUCUUCUUCUCUUUCUCUUUAUUUCUCCUAAAAGUAUCUUCCCAUUUCCCCCCCCUGAGAGAAAAUAAAAUAAAUUACGUGCCGUUUUUUUUUUCUUUUUUUGGCUGAAUUCAGGCAUGGGCGAAGAAGUGAAAAUUAACGGUUACGAUAACGGCAGCGGCAGCGGCAGCGGUGAUGACGACAGAGUAUCCGAUUGGGAAGCCGGAUUACCUGGCAUCGAUGAUUUGACUCCCUUAUCUCAGGCGUUGAUUCCGCCGGAUCUUGCUUCGGCCUUCAGAAUCACCCCGGAACCUUCCCGGAGCAUGCUCGACGUCAACCGUGAGUCUCAGAAAAUUUUAGCCUCCCUCUGCGGCGGAGCCAGCGGCGGCAGUAGUCAUCACUCUCAAGCCUUAUCUUCGUCGAAUAAUUUCAAAUCAUUCCACGAUGGAACCACCAUCACCGGCAACCGGACCCACCGGGACAACAUGAUUAUUGAUAUUGACGAAACCACCGAUCUGACCCGAGAAGGCUCCGAUUCCAGGAAGACCCGAAGAUUAACGGAAUCCCCGACUGAAGAAGCUGAUUCCUCAGCUGCCGGGAAAAAUAGUUGUACUAAUAAUAAUGAGAAUUGCGGGGAGGAUGUUUCUGCCCGGACUUUGAAGAGGCCGAGGCUGGUGUGGACUCCGCAAUUGCACAAGCGGUUCGUCGACGUCGUGGCUCAUUUAGGGAUCAAAAUGCUGUCCCAAAAACAAUUAUGCAGCUGAUGAACGUGGAAGGAUUAACGAGAGAAAAUGUUGCCAGUCAUUUGCAAAAAUAUCGCCUUUAUUUGAAGAGAAUGCAAGGUUUGUCGACGGAGGGCCCGUCCUCGUCGGAUCAUUUGUUCGCCUCGACGCCGGUGCCGCCGAGCUUGCAUGACUCUACCGGUGGUGGCAGCGGCGGAGCUGCAACCGGGCAUGGACAUGGACAUGGGAAUAGUAAUGGGCAUGUUGGUAUGCCGAUUCCGAUGCCUUAUCCGCCUCCGGCGGGGGCACAGAUGGUUUCGGUGCCGAUGAUGGGAAUGCCGGGGCCGACCCCGGGCGGUUAUCAUGGGUAUGAAUCUCAUCAUCAUCAUCACACCAUCACCAUCAGUAUGGUAUGGUACAACAGCAGAGGGACUGGGCUGGGAAUAAAUUUGCGACUUUGGCGCCAUAUCAUCACCAUGUUGCUCCUAAUGAUAAAUAACUUUUUCAAGUCUUUUGAUGUGCCGAGGAGUAGUAGAAAGGAUAGGUGAGGUUCUUGUUUUCUGUAUUGCAGUCUCAUUUAACAUUAUUGGAGUUCUUCAUUUAUUUAUUCAUUUUUGUUUCUUAGUUUAGCUGAUACAAGUUGGUUUUGGGUGUAGGAUAGAGUGAGCUCUUUGGGAAUGUGACUAGGCGAAUUGCCAAUAGGAUUUUUCCUUGGUAGAUUUUUUUUUAAAUUUGUUUCGUGGGUGAAUUAAUGGCAUUUUGAUCUUGUCAAGCUUCCUCUUCCUUCCUCAGUUUGGGUCCAUUAGCUCUAUCCUCAAUUUUAGAUCAUUCUCCAGUUCAAAUGUAGACAUUCUUCUUGGUGCAGAUGCAAUGAUCUUUCAGCGCCUGUUGGUUUUAUGCCCUCACAGCCUUAUCCAUGUUAGUCAUUGCAUGGUCACGUACAACUUCACGUUUGAUGCCAUCAGAACCAAAACGGGAUUCAUUUUCUUGUUAUAGUCUCCAAAAUGAUUAGACUAUUGCCUAUUAUUAUGCGUCAGAAUGCAAAACAAAUUAUGCUGCUCUGUGGUGCCUUGUUUGUGAACAAAUCUGUAAUGCCUGCAUGACAAGGAGCCACUGUUCUCAGUGAUUCUUGAAUUGCAAAUGUUGACACUUAUCAUAUGAGAAUAAUCUCAGUUACAGCUUGAACAUUCAUGCAACAACAGUGUAAAGAGUGACUUGUUUCUUAAGUGAAUGUAAAACUGCGUUUUAGACAACUAAACUCUUUGACUUGUCCUACUUUUUUUUGUAAGGUGCUGACUGCUGAGAGUAAAUCCAACUGAAAAAAUGUUUGAUUUUUGAUUAAUGUGAUUGAAUUUUGGAUUGAUGAGAAGAAAUUAAAUGUGGUUGCAAGGGGAUGCUCAUCUAGAUACAGGAAAUGUGUAUAAUUGAAGUAUACAUCUUACACUUAAAUAAAGUGUACAUUCAUAUAUGCUUCCGACUCAAUAGUGCAAAUUUCUCAAUGAAUUUUAAUCACUGAAUUUCAACUUAUAUUGUAGCUUGAGCAUGGACCCUUCAGAUGUUGGUGAAGUUUCAAUGAAACCAUUGGAAACAGUUUCAGAUGUAACCAGUGACAUUCUGCACCCAUAUGUUAGCUAGGCAGCAGAAAGACUACGGCUCGAAAUCUAGUGGUGAUACAUUAAGUGGAAGUUGGUCUCAGGAUAAUAUCAUCUACCUGCUGCAACUUGUUAGUAUAUUCUUAGCCUGUUCAUUAUUGAUAAUAGUAUUUUCUUAUGUAUUAAUGACUGCUGAAUGUUCCUCUACAGCAACCAGAUCACAAAUAAAUAAUAGAAUUAGUCAAACAUUUGCCAGCAGCUCUUGCCCAUUGGUAUUCUAUGCCUAUCCUCCUUUAUCUACGUUUAUGUAUCAGGCCUUUUCUUUACAAAAAGAAUUAAAAAAAAAAAGAAAAUUGUACAUGCAAGGGCAAUAUUCUCAAGUUUUGACUAAUAGGACAUUACUUAAUUGAAAUGUUUUCCUUGACUAUAUUAAUUUGUAUUCGUUUCAGUUGGGCUAUAAAGGUGGACUGUUUUCAGUACAGCUAGGGAACAAUGAGAUACUGUCUACAUCACUAGGCUGUAGCGUAAUGCAUGGAUACAUGACUCUGAUUUCUUUCCCUGGAUGUGUUUAAACUUGUGCAUUUCGGCAAGUGAAGUGAACUAAAGCCAUAUAGCUGCAGCUUGCAAUAUAUGUGUUGUUUUGCAAUCAUCUUCUUGAUUUAUAUUGUUUCUUUUAAAGAGCUGGAGAUCAGUGCAGAUUUUCCCAAAUGUUGGAUUUUCUGUGUUAUAGUCAUCAUGUAAUAAUCAUUUUUCUGUUCUAGUUUUGCAACUCUAAUUUUUGCCUAUCCCUACUACCAUCCCAAAAAAUGAAAUACUUAAAUAGCUUGAUCAACACAUGCUGGAUAUAUUGUUUGCUGUUGAUUGGUGAACUUUAAUGAGACAGUUGCAGCCCGUUUACUGCUUAUUGCACUGGCACUCGACAAAGGGACUUGUUUCUGGAUAUAGUUGAGUAGAUACUAGAUAGGGAAAGCCUACUCAGCAACAGCCUUGGAUUGGCCAUGCCCUGUGUCUUUUUUUUCCCCUCUAAUCGAUCCCAGUGGAUAUAUUAAAAUUUGUUUGCAUGUUUGGUUUCCACAUCUAAAAUUGUGUUUGUAUUUUUCCUAAGUGACUUGUUUGGACUUGGAAAUGGAUCACUUUCACAACUGUGUUCGAGUUUAAGAAUUUACUAAUUCUCCUCUUUAAGAGUUGCAUAGGAUUCGAUUUGGGUUGUAAAAGUGUAGAAAACUACGAAGAGAAAAUUUCUUAUAUGUCAAGUAUGUAGCCUGAUUCCUAGCUUAAAAUUGGUUAUUGUUGACUUUAUACUGUUAAUAUGGUACAUGAUCGACACUAACAAUUUCACAGACAAUUGACUGAACGAUAAAACUGAUUCAUGUUUAACUAAAUUUAUUACGAGAUCAUCGUCUUGAUGAACUUAAACAUCAAUUCACUAUUUUUUUUUUCCGAAACGAUAGAAGCUUUUAUUACUCAAAAGGGUAACCAUACAUAAUCAUCAACUUCACUAUGACAAAUUUCUAAAGCUAGAAAUUGGCCGCUCAGGAAUCAACUCACUUGUUGCAACCACGUUUAACGUCUCAUACCACCUCUAUCCAACUACAGCCAGGAAAUUUUUUCAGUUUCUUUUUCUUCAUUAUCCUCUUCAGCUCGUAGCUUUUCCCCACCUACUGGAAGCAGAAUAUAGAUUUGACAACAAAACACUACUUCCUCGACUCUCAGGCUCAAGUUUAACCAGCUGAUCUGCCGCAAUUUCUGCUAGAUCGACAUUGCCAUGCUGUCUACAUGCACCUAAUAAUGCUCCCCACACAAAUAAGUCAGGCUCCACUGGCAUCCUCUGAAUGAAACCAUAGGCCUCGGCAAGCUUCCCUGCCUUUCCAAGAAGAUCAACCACGCAAGCAUAAUGCUCUAAUCUUGGCUCAAUCCCAUACUUUUCUUGCAUCAAUUGGAAUAGGCUCUCUCCAAGUGGUACCUCCCUGCAUGACUACAAGCUGUCAGAGCAGCAGUAAAAGUCAAGUGAUUCAGCUCUCUUUCUUCCUCUCUUAGCAUUUUGUUGAAUAGUUCAAUUGCUUUGUCAGAAUGUCCGUGAUUUGCAUAACCAAAAAUCAUGGAAUUCCAAGUAACUGUAUUCCUUUCAGGCAUGUUGUCAAACAACCCCCUUGCUUCAUUGAUAUACCCGCAUUUGGCGUACAUGUCGAUGAGAGCACUCCUGACAAAGAUAUCCUUCUCCAUUUCCAUCACGAUUGAUAGCCAUGUAUUUCCUUUCCAUGUUUUAUAUCUGCUGCAGUUGCACAAGCAGGUAAGAGACCACUGAUUGUAGCUGCUGUACUCGGACGCGUCCCGCAUCCAACAUCCAUUUAAAUGUAUCAAAAGCCUCUUUGUUACAAAGUUCUGCACAAAACCAGAAAUUACAGAAGUCCAGGACACCAUAUCAGGCUCAAUCCCAUCUUUGCGCAUCUGUCUGAACGUUUCCCAAACCAUCACUUCGUCAUUUUCUUGCGAAAAUCCAGCAAUAAUUGUAUUCCAUGUGAUGACAUUGGUCUUCAUUCCUAGUAACUUCAUUUCUUGAACCAAAACCAAUGCCUGCUUAACAAUCCCAUGUUGAACAUAUCCAGAAACCAUAGCAUUCAGAGCCACUAAAUCUUUAUCCGCCAUCCUGUCAAACACCCUUUUUGCACUCUUGAUGUUCACACAUUUCGAAUACAUAUCAAUCAGCGCACUGAUCACAAAAGCAUCAGACUCAAAAUCAUAUUUCACCACCAAAGCAUGUACUGUUUCACCAGUUCGCAUAUCGAGAGGUGCCCACAAGCUUUUAGUGCACUAGGAAUGACAAACUCACUGGCUUUCGUCCUUCCUUUUGCAUUUCAGAGAAAACAUGCAUUGCCUCCUGAUACAACCCAUUGCGAGCAUAGGCCCCAAUUAGAGCAACCCAACGUCGAACAUUUGACUUGGGAAUUUCAUCGAACAGCUUCUGAGCAUGGGAUAAUGUUUGCACUCGUAUAAAAGGCUAUGAGCUUAGAAGCGAAGUGGGGUUUACAAGCCAACCCGUUGAUAAUCAGGUGAGCGUGUAAAGCUCUACCAGAUUGCAGGGCUCGAUCUCGACCAAAUUUCUCAAUGAUUUUUGUGUAGCCAUUGGAUGAGGAGUGAAAGGGACGGAAACUUAAAAGAAAUUUCUGCAGAGGGCUCCAUCUGGGAAUGAUUGUUGUACUAAGAUCAGCCCUCCUAAACAUGUGAAUAUCUACAUUGGUUUAGGCAAGAUCAAUGUUGACACAUAUACAGAAGCUCUUCAAAAUUCAAAUCCACAUCCCCGGUUAUACGUAGGGUAGAAAUCUCCGAACUUGAUCUAAAAUUAACAAAGCAGUUUAAUGUUUUAAACCUUAAUUGUGACAAAAUAUAUGAGCACUUGGCUGCAUUAGAUGAAAGUGGUAAUCGAAAAUUGUACCUCUUUUUUCUUUCGUGAAAUGGUAUGCUGAAACGAAAGCUCUUUCUUCCAAGAGCUGAGAGUUAUUGAUGGAUAGAAAAUUGCGCUGGGAAUAAAAGAACAAGGAAAAAGAAACGAAACGCCGUUCAAAGAGGUAAGACCAUGUAAGCUACAAACUUGAAUCUAGUUUAUCACCAGGGAAAUGCUUCAUGACUAUUAUCAAUUCAAAUAAAUGCAUGCAUACAUACAUAAUAACAAUUGUACUACAUGCUAAUUUAAAGGGAAAAUCUACCAAGAGUUCUACAGAGGUACAAUUAUGAUCCCUCACAGGAAAAAAAAAAAAGUAAAGGGAUGAUUUUGACAAGUCUUUCUUGAAAACUACCAUCCCUAUGCUUGAAAAUACUUCCAAAAGCAAGCAUUACGAGAUUGUACAGCAUGUUCAAGAAAGAAUCCUAGUUGCUGCUUUCUACAUUUUGGUAAAAUUGGUUGAGACAUGCUCUCAUCUUAGCUACAUGGCGUCAUUGAUAAGUAGUGGACAAUUCUCCAUUGCAUUCUGAUUGCAUUGGAGUAUCAAGUCCCUCUGAAAGUAGACUGACAUCCAUUUUGAACUCCUCUGAUCAAUUCAAUGAAAUUCGUUUAGUAGACUCCUGCAAAUGCAGUACGAUACACCUUGCAGCAUGGUCAGAUUAAAGAAUUUUACUUCUAGUUCACAAAGGGGUCACUAACUAAGAUGGGUUAUCCACAUCUUAGUUAGCGUCACCAGAAAUCCCCACAAGAACAGCAACCCUGCUUGAAGUGAUGAAACCUGUAAUUAUCCCUUAGUAAUAUUUCAUGUUUAGUAAUCUUUGAUAUGUGCUUCAUUGUUGUGUGACAAUCUGAGCAGACUCGAAUGUUCUUGAAAAUACGAAUAGGGGUUCCAGCAGGCAAAUUUAAUAAGCCAAAGCAAACUGCAAGCUUCUCACUAUGAUACAAAAGCUUCCCUUCAUUACAUAGUCCUAGUUCUGUAUGAGGUGUAGAUAUCUCACUCAAAGUCGAAGCAUGAUUGACUACCCUGAUAUCAUUAAUGAGCUUCUCUAACAGGUCAUAUACUUCUGGAGUUUGAGGGUGAGUUGUAUCUCCUGAAAAGAACUUGUACGUUUUAUUUUUAACCUCAAUCCAGCUAUAACCUGGUUCCUUCUUAACCUCCUUCAGUUUCAUUAGUUCUCUUUGCUUAACCAAUUCACCUAAUCUUCCUACAUCAAAGUACAUGUUUGACAAGGUGACAUGAACUGAUGCAUCAUCUGGUUCUAAUUCUAGGAUACGAUUGGCAACAUAUUCCCCAGUUGAAGGUCACAGUGACAUCUGCAACCCGCGAGCAAUGGUCUCCAUAUUGGAGCAGUGGGCUUGAUUGGCAAUCUUUUUAUGAAAUCUAGAGCAUCCUCCAGAUGUCCUGAUCUGCUAAACAAGUCUACCAUGCAGCAAUAAUGUGUUUCCUCAGGUAUAACACUGUAGUUCAUCAACAUGGAUUUGAAAAAUUCUUUGCCUUCUUGAACUAAUCCGCAGUGGCUACAAGCAGAAAGAACUGCAAGAAAAGUAGAACCACUUGGCUUUACACCCUCCACAACCAUCUUUUUAAACAAAGAUACAGCCUUCUCAAAGUAUCCAUGCUGUGAGUAAGCUUUGACCAAGCAAUUCCAUGACACAAUAUCCGGCAUUGAUAUCUGGUCAAAUACCUUUUCAGCAUCAUCUAAACUGCCACAUUUUCCAUACACUUCAAUUAACGAGCUUGCAACAUGUAAGUUUCUUUCAGAGCUGGCUUUAAUCACCCAACAAUGAAUUUGCCUGCUUGUGGAAAGGGAUGGAGAGAAGAACAAGCUUUCAGGGCAUUUGAAAAGGUGUACUCAUCAAUUGGUACGUAAUUUAGAACCAUUUUAUGAAAAGCCUUCAAUGCUGCUUCUAUGUUAUUAUUGUGAACAAACCCUGCAAUUAGUGCAUUCCAUGAUACAGCGGAUGCUAUUGUACCCAUCUCCUGAAGCUGUUUUUCAGCAUUAUCCAUUUGCCCAAGCUCUGUAUACAUGUCUACGAUUGCAGUGCCAACAAAAGCUCCGAAGCCAUGCCCUUUUUAACUAGUUGAGCAUGAAGUGCAUAACCAUUGUCAAACUGCUUUAUACCUCCACAAGAAGAUAAGGCCAUGGUCAAUGUAUAUUCAUUUGGUUCAAAUCCAUGUUGUCUCAUCAAGUAGAACUGCAGCAGGGCCUUCUCUAAUGCUCUUUGCUGGUAAAGUCCAGAUAUAAUGGCAGUCCAAGAUACAACAUUCUUCUUAGGAAGACUUUGAAACAAACUUUGAGCAUUCUCCAUCAUCCCAAACUUGCAAUACAUUGUCAAAAGAGAAUUAGCAACAACUCCAUUAACUACAUCCUGCUGCAGCUUCACUACAUGUGCAUGGAGCUGAAUCCCUUCAUUGAUAGCAAAAACACUCCCACAACCAGAUAUCAUGAUCGAAAAUGUGUAGUGAUUCGGCCUUAUUUCCCAAACUCCCAUCUGGCAAAGAGCCUAAAGCUUCAUCAAACAUUUCAUUGCUCAGAAACCCAGAAAUCAAGCAAUUAUAUGAAGCUACAUCAAUGGAAAGCAUCCCAUCAAAAACCUUCACUGCACUACCAAUUUCGCCACACUUGGCAUACAUAUUAACAAGAGCUGUAUCCACAAUCUUGUCACCACAAAACCCUGUCUUUAUCACCAAAGCAUGGAAUAUCUUGCCAACUCCUAAAUUUCCUUCCCUACUGCAAUAACUCAGUUGAUCUACAAUAUUUUUCUUAUCCGUCAAAUUCCAUUCCCAACAAAGCAAACCAGGCAUUGCAUUUACUCCCUGCUCUUUACAUGCAUCGUAAAUGAUUCCACUAAUUAGUUCAAAGUCGGUGUCUUCUAUUACACCCAUUUCACUUCCAUUUACAGGACGAGUCAUACCGGAACCCGAGACAGAAACAUUAAUCCUUUGAGUGAUUUUGUCAAGCAACUUAAAGUCAUUCCUGAACCUGAGAUGCUCAAUUCCAAAUUUCUUAAUCCUUUGAGGCUCAAGAGGCUCUUUUUUGUUGCAAGCAAAAGAACAUAAAGGUGAAUUCCCCACAAUCAUCUUCCAAGUAGUUGCCAUCAGAUUCAUAUCUUAUGAUGAUUGAAUAUGCAUGGAGAUUUGGCCGUCUCAGACACUUCAAAGACUAUAUUUGCCAAUUUGGCAGCCUACAAGGACUUCUGUUUGAGCUCAAAAUCUCAAACUCAAGCAAGGACUUCGACACCCAUUUACAGCACUAGGAGAAAGAAUGUACAAAUACGUAGUUUUAAGGGACGGAGCACUAGUUCACUACAGAAAGCCUGAUAUUGUUAAGGUUGCAGUUCCUGCCAAAUCUCAAAGCUAGGUGAUUUUUUUUUUUUUUUUUACUGGAAGCUAGAAGCGAGGCGAUAUUUAUUUAACCAAUUAAGAGAGGUACCUGGCCCGCAGGGUAGCUCGAGCGGUCCACUCCCUCUCCUUAGGGUGUGGCGAUCUUCCUGAUUUGUCCAGGGUUCGAGUCCCGCUGUUAACGUGUUCGAUGUGGAAUGGGGUCUCCUCUCCCGGGCCUCAGGGGAUUAGUCGGACCCCGUAAGAAUUGACCCGAACACCCUGCGUCGACAAAAAAAAAAAAAAAAAAAAAAAAUUAAGAGAGGUAUCUCGUUACCAUGCUUUUUUGGAGAUGUUUUAAAAUAUUUAUCAUGUAUAAAAAUUAAAUUUUUGAUACGACAAAUAAAUUGAUAUAUAUAUAUAUAUAUAUAUAUUUUUUCAUCCUUGUCGGCUUCUGGUGGUUAAAAAUAGGUAACAAUUUGUCAACCGGGGAUUUAAGGACCGCACACACAAAAAGGAUAGAUGCCGUCCCAUCCACAAGCGUUCUCCUCUCCCCUUGAAGGAGGAGAAAAUCACCGGAAACUACUGGCUGUAGUUAUGAAUACAAGUUCAAGAACAUGCAUGGAUUUGCUCCGUCUCUGACACCCUUUAGAAACUUCCUAGCUGUAAAACCAUUAUUGUUCUCUGAAGCUCAAUCCAAGUUUUUGGUACCGGAUUGCAGCAAGUUUAUUGUGAUAAAGCAACCGGGUUUUUCUCACACUUUGAGCUGCAGAAACUACUACUGCUAUGGAGAGAGGAGAAAUAAGAGGUGCGCUAGUGUGAGGGCGAGUCGAAGAGAGUCUCCACACGAAGUUUUAGGAGUGUCUCCUUCUGCAACUCCCAAUGAUAUCAAAAGGGCCUAUCGCAAGCUCGCUCUCAAGUAUCAUCCCGAUGUCAAUAAGGAGGUGUGCUUCAUUAAUCUUGGUCAUUAUAUUUAUGGGAUUUAUUAGUGUUUUCUGGUAUUUUCUCCUGCUGAUCUAUAGUCUGUGUUCCUGUGAUCUUUGUCCACUUAGUUGAAAUUGUCACACAUCUCAAACCUAAUUUACUGUUACUAUGCAAGAUUAACAUCAAUAUGUUUAGAAAAGUGAUGAUUUUUGAGCACUCGUCCAAGGAAAUACGUAUAGACUGAUUUAAAUUUUGAUUUCCUGGUUCAAAGUUUGGUUUCCUCGAGUAGGAACGUGAGCGGGUACAAAUAAUGCUGCCUCGACGAACUUUGUCAACCAAAGUCGGAAAAUUUUAAUACUAGCCUUUACUCCAGCUAGCUAGAUCUUAAAAGACUUUCCUUGGGACAUAUAAUAAUAUCCUCUGUUAUUUUUGUCUGAAGACUUCACUCGGUUCGCUGGUGUAUAUAAACCAUUUCGAGAAAUAUGGCCAAUUAAUAAAAUUGGAACUGUAUACAAUGUUGCCUUGUGAGCUCUUUGAGAAUUGAAAGCUGCAUCUUGGGUGGUUAAUGGUAAGGAUACGUUGGAGAAAUUCCUAGAAAUUGUGCUGUUAUUCUUUGUAUUUCCUCUUCCUUUCUUGCAUUCUUCUUUUAAUCUCCUUAAGAAUCUUUUGCCUUGCAUUUUGGGUGCCGCAUCAGCACUCAAUUGUCCUUGUUAAGGUAUUGAUAAUCUUUUAGUAAAUAUUAGAGACGAUUGACUGAUGCUGGAAUUUUCAUGCUCUCUCCGCUUUCUUCACCCUCUUAUUAUAGUGCACAAUUACCCUUGUCUCUCUUCCAAAUUGCACGUCUCCUUGGCUAAUGUCCAUCAGAAACCAAUUGUCUAGUUCCUUUCUGCUAGCUUCUCAACAGGGCCGAAGCAUCUAAUUGCUAGCAGGCACUGCCACGUUUACCUUUUGGUGUACUUGUUGUGGGGCUUUAACUCAAGGCAGUAGUAAGUUUGCAGAAAGGAAGAGAGAGAGAGAGGGAUGGGGAGAGGAGGGGGAAGUGGAGGUGAGUAUGAGGGUGAAAGUGGAAUGCAUAUAGUGGUGGCAAAAGGAGGACUUCUGAUGGGUCAAAUAUCAUGGAAGUGGUUCAAUCCAUAUUUGAGCUUGUCUCAUUAUACCUUCUGGCAGAGGACAUUAACUUUAUUUUGCAUUUGAGACAAUGAACAGACAGAGUCUCAGAAGAUGUUUUUCCAUGUCUAAAGGAUUUAACAUAUUUGAGCUCAUCUCAUUAUACCUUGUGGCAGAGGACAUUAGCUUUAUUUUGCAUUUGAGACAAUGAACAGACAGAGUCUCAGAAGAUGGUUUUCCAUGUCUAAAGGAUUUAACUAUGUUUAUUAAACUGCCAGUAAUGACAUCAAGCAAAUAUUGUUACUUGGGACUCUAUUCUAACUUCAAGGGCUUGUCUUUUGAUAACAUCCAUCAUCCCUCUACUGUCAAGCUCAUUUCAUUAAUGCUGUUAAGAACAAAAGGAGUAUCAUUUAAUUCGGUUAUUUAUUCAAUCAUGACUACUAGCAUGAUUGUCUAUCGAGCUGAUUUAUAUGAUGAUUGCAAAUUUUCAAGGCUAUUCGCAAAUAAGCAUCUCAUACAACACUAGAAUGUCACGUUCGGACAAGAAUUGACAUGUUAAUAGAAGAGUCCUGGCUCAUUUUAUUACCUUAUUGCCUUUCUAAGUACAUGUUUUUUUCCUACUUUUUCUAACAUCUUUUAAGCACUCUAUACAGAAAAGAUGCUUCUCGUUCCAUUUUGGUUCUGUAUACUGUGACAAUUGUCAAAUGGUGGACUCCAUUGGAGUGAAAAUAUUUGAAAGUGUAAAUCGCGUUCUCAAUCAGCCACAAGCGGUAGUUUGCUGUUAUUCUGGAAUAUGGAUUAACAACAUAAUGUAAAUGGAACAAGGGGUAAAUAUUGUCUGCUUAAAAUCUUUGAAGAGCAAAGAAUUUGUAAAUCCAGGCUAUUUUGUGUAAUUCACUCAAAGGGAUUUCAGUUGUGUUAACCUUGAAAUAUGAGUUCAUGUAUCAGACAUACAUUAUUGGUUCACCUCCAACUCUUUGUACCCAUUACAACCUCUGAUUCUUUCUCCGUUUAAUAUCUGCAGGCGAAUGCACAAGAAAGAUUCAUGCGGAUUAAGCAUGCGUACAAUACAUUGCUAAAUAAAUCUGACAGAAGAUUUGAUAAGGGAAACCGUGGAUCUGAAUCUUCUUAUUCCACAGCUGGUAGAAAUGAUAAUUGGACUGUGAACAAUGAUGAAGAGUUUUAUGGAUUUGGUAAAAUCUACCUGCUCUUGGAAAUCUUAUGCUGUUUGACUAAUGAGAUUAUUGGUUUCUGUGCUGCAUUUAUGUGUUACUUUUGUUUUCUGUUUGCUUUUACUCUGAACAACCUUAAGUUGUGAGAAAUGUCUUAGAAGGUCAGUUAGCUACCCUGGCUUUGUCCUGUCCUCCUUUUUUUCCCACUGGUACGAACUUGACAUUUCAUCCAAAACGAGUCACAGCUUGUCUUGCCCUAACAACUUGUACAAAUUGAUGUUAUUGUAAUUGUUCUUUAUGCAAUUUUCAGUUCUAGCUUUUCAUUUCUAUUUUGCAAGGCAUUGCAUGAACACAGAGCGCAUCUAAUGCUUUAGAGUAUGACAUUCUCUCCAUCUAUUCUCAUGUUUAACCCCUUCAUGCUGCAGGUAACUUUUUGAGGGAUGUCCAAAUAUCCAUAGGUAGAUAUGUGCACUUUGCAUGACAAUGAGAGCCCUGAUACCACCUUGCAUUAUCUUUCUUAAAAAUGCUUUUCAUCUCUGUCUUGAAGUUAAUAUGCACAUGGUUUUGACGUUUAGAUGUUUUGUUGCAGAGGACUUCUUUAAGGAUCUUCAAAAGAAUUUCGGAACUGGGAGGCUGGUGCUGAUUCGCAAGGAAAGCCAAAGAGCUUGUGGGAGGAAUUGGCGGUAAGAGAUUUUCUGCGCUUGAAGUAGACUGAGUAGAAAUUCAUUAGAAAGAGGGAGGUGCUUGCUGGGUAAAAGCACUAUUGGUUCUCUUAUGUUAUUUCUUUGUUCUUUUGAGCCUGGGGUUGAAGCAUGUUGAUUAUAUCCUUCCAUUGGCCAAUUUUUUAUUUGCUUUUUUUUUUUUAACUGAAAGCACCAAUGAUAUGAUCAAGGUGCGGUUGCAGCUUGUCACUAAUUUGAUUGUCUGCAGGAAAUUGGAGAAGAAUUUGUUGAGUUUUUGGAGAAAGAGCUGAACAUUUCUGACGUUGAAGCGGAACAAACCAAGGGUAACCAGCAGCAACGGGGUAAUGCAUCCUACGGAUCAAAGGAAACAGGAAAUGUAAACCAAAAUGAUGCAGGCAACAGUGGAUCGAGGAAAAUAUCAAUGAUAUCGAGGCAGCCCUUGCGCAGUUGAAGAAGGAACUGGGUCUUUAAGGAUUCUACGCUCAAAAAGAUUAGGAAUGAGGACUAAAACUUGUUGCUUUUGGAAUGGGAUUUUGAGGAAUCGGUUGUGAUUUUGGUAUAAUUUUCUGGUUGGAUGAACCCAAACAGCUUCCGGCUAACGCUGCCUAAUCUGCGACAGGAUGUUUUACGUCAAAGUUGAAUUUUUUUUCACCCGUACUAUCUGAAAUUCAUGUGGCCGUCUCGCAGAUUCCAAGUACAAGAAUUGUGUAAAUCUGGCCAUGAUUGUGAAUCAAAGAGAGAGAAAGUGUAACUGAUAAAAGAAAGAUGUGUGGAUAAAUUAAUUGUACAAUUUCACAUCUCCUGUUUCUGUUGUGCCAAAAUAAUUCAUCUUUUAGGGGUAAUUUCAGAAACCUUGGCACUCGAACUUUGAAAAAUCUCACUUAUGUUGCCUCUCUUACUUUAAGCUUUUUGUUUCAUUUGCAGUCCAUUUUAAUAAAUAAUAUUAACAAAUUUAUUUGAAAGAGUAAAUAUAAUCUCAUUUCAAUAUUGCCCCUUGUUAUCUUAUUUUUUAUUACAAAAACGUGAGUAUAUUAAUAAAAAAUAACAAUAAAAAUAAAAAGUGUGAAGUUUAUUUUGAUUGGAUAAAAUGUAAUACAUUUUUAAAUACCAAGAGUUAAUAUAUGAAAAUUUAUUUGAAAUUUUGCAAGUUACAAAGAUAAUAUUUUCUUUAUUGCAAUAAUGUGUUUUGAGUUAAUUUAAGUUUUAUAAAUCAAUUGCAUUUUUUUGUCCAAAUCGAUAGCUUGAAAGUUGAAAAGAUAUAACAUGCUAAAAAUUAUAUAAAAACUUAUCUCUAUCGUUUUUAAGCCAAUGCAAAAAGGAAUUAUCAUAAUUGUAAAUUAUUACAAGUUAUUUUUAAAAGUAUUGUAAACUAUUCACAAUUUUAAGUAAUUUAACAUUUCUUAUCUGAACCAAUGACUUAAAAGAGUUUUUUGAUCUUGUUAUCAAUCUUUAAACUUUUAUUAAAAAAAAAAACCCAUCAAUCAAUUUUCAAAAAUUAAGAGAUAAAUUUGAUGUGCCAUGACAAUUAACAAAUAACAAGAAAAGGGCAAAUUUGAAUGAAUUUAUCUUUUCCAUUCCAAAAUGAAUUUUUUUAAUAUUAUACUUUGAAAUCGGUUUCAAAUGUUACAAAAAGUUUAUUAGGAAAGUGCAAUUUUUCAAAGUUUAAGGGUACUGAGUGGACCUGUUAAAAACUCAAGGGAGGUUUCUGAAAUCAUCUCUUUCAUCCAACUGCUUUCUCUAUUUUCUUUCCACUUGUUUCUGUGAGUUCGAAAGAAAUCGGAGCCUGUUCGGCUUAUUGUCAAGUUGGCUGCACUGUGAAAGAGCAUAUUGAUAACCAAUGGUAAUCAUCUUGCACGGAGAGAUGUGUGCGGAAGUAAAAACAACUUGCAACGCAUAUAUUAAGGCACAAACUCACAUCCUCAACUGUCAAUGAAUCCUCAAAAGUUAAAAUAGUACUACAAUACUUGCAUUUGUCUAAUAUACUGUCUCUGCUGAAUUUUCCCAGUUGCAGAAACCAGUCUAACUGGAUAGCCAAAGUCCUAUGCAGCUCAAACCCAAAAUUUGUAAAUUCCGACGCAGCAAUAUGUGUGUCAGUGAGAACCAGAACCGAAAUGUCUCAGAAUCUCUCACCAAACCGGAAGAACAAGGCU
This 53551-nucleotide long non-coding RNA is filed under the name Coffea arabica (coffee). RNAcentral describes it as "long non-coding RNA (CARA_LNC000756)". The record is from RNAcentral. Lineage: Eukaryota; Viridiplantae; Streptophyta; Magnoliopsida; Gentianales; Rubiaceae.